CUGCCAUGGAGUGGAGGGCGUGAUUGGAAAUUUUCCCCCUAGCGAAGGCAAAUCGGUGAACCACCAGAGCGCCAAUUGCCAGCUGAUGUGUUCUGACCGAUUUGCCCCUGCGUGGAUGUUGUACAUAGCGAGGUCACACGGGGAUGGUGGAGGGUAGAACGAGGAUUCAGCCGCAUUUUCUACUGCACCUCAACAAUUUUAGGACCUGCUGUCUUGUGGGAAUUCUUCUUCUUCUUCUGAGUGUUCUUGUAGCUAGCUCUAGAUCAAGCUCUCGUAGCUGCAUGAAGCCUCUUCUUACUCUUUUUUGCUAGGGAUUUUGAGGUCUUGAUAACACAUCAUGUAAGCCGCAAGGUUGGCCUCAUGUGAGUGAAAUGGAUGAUUUUGCCACUGCAAAAGUUUGAUACAGGAUCUGAUGGUGUAAAAUACAAUGCACCUCCAUGGAUCUCCAGCUAGCUCUAGCAGCUCUGGCAGCCUGUCAUGGAGCACAAUGGUGUACAACAAUGAUUGACCAUUUGAUAGUACUGCUAAACAACUUGGGCAUGUGGAUGUUUUUUUUAACCUGAAAAUCUAGGUUUAAUGGGCAGGUUCAAUAUAGCUGAGUGCAUAUAGAGCCAUACAGUGCGUGUGUAUAGGAUUUUCCAGAACUUUUUUCAAAACGGAGUAAAAAAAAUGUGCCUCAUCCAUUAAGUAAAAUAAAAUCGUAAAUGUAUGUAAUUAACAAAAAAAACAGGUGAGAACUCAGUCAGUUGAAUAGUGCACACAUGAUUUUUUAUUUUAUUUUUUAGAAAAGGAGGAUUACCCCGGUCUCUGCAUCUGAGCGAUGCAUGCAGCCAUUUUAUUAAUUAUUCUUAAACUCCCUUACAAAGUAGUACAUCAUGUAGUCUGAAGUCACCAUCUUAGCAACAAUUUUCGCUACUCCUAUCCACUUGAUGAAGGGGUGUCGAUAGUUUAAGCCUAAUACCAAACAAACAUCACAUUAAAGCCUAACAUUUAAAGACGGAGGCCCCAACAAAGCCGCAUAUUAGGUUUGGGGUACAAACCGGUCUGAUGCACUCUCAUGUGUCAUCGCCAUCAUCUUCCACCAAUCCAUUUUCAGAGUGAAAACUAGUGAAAACAAACGCGUCGACCUUACCAGGCCUCUCUGCCGUCGACGCCACCAUGACGCCAGGUAACGUCCUCUUCCUGCGUGAGUCCAUCUUUGCGCAUCGGGCGUCGAGUCCCACUGCGCCACGCCGCCAAGGAUCACCACCAUUAAUGUCUAAGAUGAAGCAGCCCCCAAAGAAGCCGUCCACUGGUCCCUUGAGCUCAUGUACACCUCCAAGAAUGACGCCCUCAAGGAUAAGAACAACACGCACAGGAUAGGCCACAUAGUCUGAAGAGAGUCUCGUCCAGAUAGCACAUAGGCAGGAUCGUCAUCCCUUUCUCUCCAAGCAGGUGUCAUCGUCAUCAUUUGUCCUCGAGCAAGGGACUGCGACUUCGCUGCUAAUAUUCCAGAACUUUGAAGAAAUUGUAUUGCUUGUGUUAAAGAAGAAGAAGAAGAAGAAGAAGAAGAAGAAGAAUUGUAGAGUGCGGCGUUUCUGCUCCCGAGCUCAUUUGCACCCCCUCUGACGAAAAAAAUCAAAAUAAAUACUAAAAAAUUUCAAAAAAUGCCAAUUUUUUUGUGUGGUAGAUAAGUUUGUGCGUGAGGUGCGCUUCAAGUUUCAACUCAUUUGGACAUCUAAGCUACUCCUAGCAAAAAAGACAAAUUCAGGGUCUGUAAAAAAGUUUACUGUUCACACUGUUCUGACCCGAUUUGUUUUUUCUUUUGCUGAGAGCUGCUCAGAUGUCCAAAUAAGUUGAAAUUUGAAGCGAACCUCACGCAUACAAUUGUCUGUCAAUGAAUUUGUUUGAAUUUUUUUGAAUUUUUUUAUUUGUUUUCUGACCGGGUGCAAAUGAGCUUGGGCAUGAAAUUGGGUUUUUCAGAAUUGUAUUGCUUCAGAACUAGUCGUCACAUUCACUAACAAAAACCAUUAGAUUCAUAGUGUCCGUCCAAUGAUGUACGUGUCAAGAUCAGCCAUUUGGGGUCGGAUAGACAAGAGGCCAUGUGCAGCGCAGCAAAACACAAGUCUAUGUACCUAUGUACGUACAUAGCCGCCGAGUCGUGCUUGGCUUAGUAGUUAGUUUAUUAUUCACCUAGACGGAGGGAGUACUACAGUAAUAGUAGUGUAAAAAACGUUCUUAUAUUAUGAGACGGAGGAAGUAGUUUAAUUUAAUUGCUUUGAUUUGAUUCACUCGCUUUCGGUUGGGCUUCAGGACAAGCUCUCCUCUGCGUGUGAGUAGCUAGGCAACGACAUGGGGGCGACGUAGGGGCUAUCUGCUAAUCAAAAUUAGGCAGAUCUCCAUACGGACACAUGCCAGUCCAAAGCAUUCACUGACAUCCGACCGAGCCGCGCUCAUCUUCUUUUUCUCUGCGGUCGUUGCCUGCAGGUGAACGGGAAGAAAUGCUCGACUACUACCCGCGCCGUAACGUAGAUGUACAAAACCGCCGGAAAGUAAUAGACAAGGGUUUUAGGGUUUGUGGCACAGCUCCAACACGUGGGGUGGCCUUUCCAUUAUAUAGAGAGGUACAUAAUAAUGUACAACACAAUUACAAAGUGGGACCCAGUAUAUACAGAGUCUAACACCCUCCCUCAAUCUUAACCGUGCUCAGAAGAAUUCACCAGGUUGAGAUUGUGCCUACACCCUUCAAACUGAGGAAGAGGCAGUGGCUUCGUGAAGAUGCCAGCAAGUUGAUCUUUCGAGGAGAUGAACUUGAUAAGAAGCAGUUUCUGGGCAACACGUUCCCUGACAAAAUGAUAAUCAACUUCGAUGUGUUUGGUGCGAGCAUGAAAGACUGGAUUUGAAGACAAAUACGUCGCACCAAUGUUAUCACACCAAAGUACCGGCGGCUGCUUCUGAGGGAUCUUCAACUCUCUGAGCAAAAACUGUAUCCAAAUAAGCUCUGCUGUGGCAUUUGCAACUGCUUUGUACUCAGCUUCGGUGCUACUGCGGGACACCGUUGCUUGUUUACGAGCACUCCAGGCGAUCAAGUUCGAACCAAGGAACACUGCAUAUCCCCCCAUUGAUCGUCUGUCAUCCGGACUCCCAGUCCAGUCUGCAUCAGAGAACGCAGAGAGAACUUCAGAGGGGGCCGGUUGCAGAUGCAAGCCAUAAGAAGAAGUGAACCGGAUGUAGCGCAAGAUGCGCUUAACCGCAGUCCAGUGAGAGUCUCGAGGAGCAUGAAGAAACUGGCAGACACGGUUGACAGCAUAGGAGAUAUCAGGACGAGUGAUAGACAAGUACUGCAAGCCGCCAACAAUACUGCGAUACUCAGUAGCCUCAUCAGCAGAGAGGAGAGAACCAUCGAGAGCAGAUAGUCGGUCAGUGGAGGACAUAGGUGUAGUAGCCGUCUUGCACUGGAGCAUACCAGACCGUCGAAGAAUAUCGAGAGAAUACUUCUGCUGAGUGAGAGUCAAGCCGGAACCAGAGGACAAAACUUCGAGCCCAAGGAAAUAGUGAAGCUGCCCAAGAUCCUUAACCGCAAAAUCAGCACUCAAAGCAGAAACCAAGCGAUCCGCAGCAUAGUCCGAGGAGCUGACCAGGAUGAUAUCGUCAACAUAGACCAGUAGGUACAUAGUAACUGUAGGUCGCUGAAGAAGAAAUAACGAGGUAUCAGCCAGAGAGGGAACAAAUCCAUGAGCCCGAAGGGUGGUGCCAAGACGCGCAUGCCAAGCACGCGGAGCCUGCUUCAGGCCAUAGAGUGCCUUAACAAGACGACACAGAUGCUGCGGACGAGCUGGAUCAACGAAACCGGGAGGCUGACGCAUGUAAACCUCCUCCUUAAGAACACCAUGAAGGAAAGCAUUCUGAACAUCAAGCUGACGAAGAGACCAUCCACGGGUAAUAGCCAGUGAGAGCAGAAGCCGGAUCGUGGUAGGUUUGACCACUGGACUGAAGGUGUCCUCAUAAUCAAGGCCAUGGCGCUGUUUGAAUCCUUUAGCAACCAGUCGAGCCUUGUAUCUCUCGAUAGAACCAUCAGCAUGUUUCUUUACCUUGAAAACCCACUUCGAAUCAAUGAUGUUGACACCAGCCUUGGGAGGAACCAGUCAUCACGUUUCAUUCUUAAGAAGAGCGUGGUAUUCUUGUUCCAUCGCAGUACGCCAGUGAGGGAUACUCAGGGCAGCCUGAAAAUGCCGAGGCUCAGCAGUAGGGUCGGACUGGGCCUGCGCCAUGCAAGUCGCAAGCCAGGCAACCGUGCCAUCCGUGCGUUCCUUAGGACGAAACACCCCACUUUUGUUGCGUGUAUGAGGACGCAACACAGGGGGCGGAGCAGGUGACGAAAUCGACGGUGAGGAUGACGAAGGAGAGGCAGCAUCCGUCAUGGCAGAUGCCGAUGCAGUCGGUGACGGUGACGAGGAAGACGCAGCAGGAGACGCCAACCCACUGGAGGGCGACGCCGAUCCAGGCGAGUGGGACAAGUGCCGAACAGGCGACGAGGACGGCGGGGGGGCUCCCAGGCGGGGACGGCCCAUGCGUCGGUGCAGGUGACGGCCCAGGCGUCGGUCCAGAGGAUGGCCCUGGCGUCGGUGUCGGGGACGCCGGUGCAGACGAGACGGCCCGCUGGGCCGGAGUGUUGACGCGCGGCACAGCAGCUGCGAUCGCGGGCGCAGGCGGGCUCGUUGCAUGGGACAUGCACGAAGCCAGCCGAUCGACGUGAGCGGGCGAGGAUGACGUAGCAGUCGGGGACGAGGGAGCCGGAGGGUCAACCUCGUCCAGGAGCUCCAGCCGCGCACAUCUCCCAAUACCUGCACCAUGGUUAGACAACAAAGAGGGCGAAUGUGCAGAAUCUACAAAUUGAUCAAGCAAUAUAGUGGAUGGGUGCACUGGCGGUGUGGAGCUUGUGUCAGGUGGGGGAAGAACAGCAAAGGGAAAAACGUGCUCAUCGAAAACGACAUCUCGGGAGAUAUACACACAAUUAGACGGGACAUGAAGGCACUUAUACCCUUUGUAAACGGAACUGUACCCCAGAAAGACACACUUCUUUGAACGGAACUCAAGCUUGCGAUUAUUAUACGAACGGAGAUGCGGCCAACACGCACAACCGAACACUUUAAGAAACGUGUAAUCAGGAGUCUAACCAAGCAAGAGUUCAGGUGGAGUUUUCAUAUGAAGGAGCCGCGAAGGAAGCCUAUUUAUAAGAAAACAGGCUGUAGUAAAAGCAUCACUCCAAAAACGAAACGGGGCAGAUGCAUGAGCAAGCAAGGUUAACCCAGUUUCAACAAUAUGACAGUGCUUACGUUCAGCUGAACCAUUCUGCUGAUGUGUAUGUGGGCAAGAACGAUGAGCAAUUCCAAGUUUUUCAAAGAAAGUACUGAGAUUGCGGUACUCACCCCCCAGUCUGACUGUACAUGAAUGAUUUUAUGAUUAAGGAGUCGCUCAACAUGUGCUUGAAAUUGUAAAAACACAUUAAACACAUCAGACUUAUGCUUAUUAAGAUAAAUCCAGGUAAAGCGACUAUAAGCAUCAAUGAAUCUGACAUAAUAUUCGUGCCCACUAACGGACAGCUGGGCAGGACCCCAUACAUCUGAAAACACAAGCUCAAGAGGAGUUUUGACUAUAUGUGUAGAAACAAAAAAAAAGGUAACUGAUGACUCUUGCCUUGUUGACAGGCAUCACAGACGGCAGCAUCUUUAUUACUAGACUCGGACGGUAGCUCAUGACACUGGAGGACAUGGCGAAUAAUGGGUGAUGCUGGGUGACCAAGGCGAGAGUGCCAUAGUGAAGGAGACACACAAACGGCACUGAAGACUUGGAACGCAGCAGCAGGAGCAGGAACGUCGGUGGGGGCAUCAAGAGCAUAUAAACCACGGCGGUAGCGACCUCUAAGAAGUAUGUUCCUCGUAGCACGAUCCUUAACAAAGAGAUGAAACGGGUGAAACUCACAGAAAACAUUAUUAUCCUGUGUAAGUUUAGGAAGAGAGAGUAAGUUACGUGCAACUGUGGGAACACGAAGAACAUUUCUAAGAUGCAAUGUCCUAGAGGUGUUUGUGAGAAGUGAUGCCUGACCAACAUGCAAAAUGUGCAUACCUGCCCCGUUAGCUGUGUGAACCUUGUCAUGCCCGCGGCAAGGCUGCUGAACAGUUAGCUUGCCCAGCUCGUUCGUGACAUGCAUUGUUGCUCCAGUAUCCAUGUACCAAGAAGGAUCAACAGGAUAAGAAGGAGUGUGACCCUGUUGCGCCAUGUUAACUUGACGUUCGUUACCCUUGCCAUUAUUGCCGAGGCCGUGGAAGUCCGUCUUGAACCGGCGAUGACAGCGGGAGGCGACAUGGCGAGGUAGGCCACAGAGCUGACAUGGCUGAGCCGAACCACAGGCGGUACAGCAGGCGCAGGCGCGGCCGUCAACGACAACUACCGGGGCGCCAGGACGCGGGGCCUGCUGCUGCUGUGCCGAGGGUGCACCACCACCGGACUUGCCCCCCCCCCCUCCCGAGGACGAAGCUGCAGAGGGGCCACGGCCGCCGCCUUUGCCGCGGGACACGGCAUUGACGCAGGAGUCAAUGGAGACGUCGGGGCGGCGCGCAUUGAGCCGUUGCUCCGUACACAGGAGACGACUUUAGAGUUCCUGAGGACGAAGAGGCUCCUUGCGUUCAUUAAUCACCUCGGCAAGCGAGUCGUAGUCGCUGUCGAGGCCGGCUAGGAUGAAGGAUGUGAACUCGCUGUCAUGAAGGGGCUCUCCAAUGGAAGCAAGAGUGUCGGCCAACUUCUUGAUCUUGUUGUAGAAGGCGGUCACCGUACCAUUGUCCUUGCGAGUUUCACCAAGCUUGGCACGGAUGGCCAUGGAUUGAGCAGUAGACCGAGACGAAAAACUCGACUCCAGGAUGUCCCACACCUCAUGAGAGGACGAGCCCGGCCACACCCUCACCCAGACAAGACUGGAUGGCUGAGAGGAUGGCCUGGUCCUGAGCGAUCCACGCACGGAACAUCGGAUGAUGUGGCGGUGGACACGACAGGGUACCGUUGACGAACCCCUCCAAAUAAUGGUUGCGAAGGAGAGGUAGCACCUGAGCACGCCAGUACAGAUAAUUGUCCGGUUUAAGCUUCACCGGAAGGAGGUGCGAGAACAAAAACGGCGGCGAGGAGAUCGCGGCCAGAGCAGCUUCAGCAUCCACAUAUGGCGUAGGAGAGGGCAUCGGUGCAGACGGAGCCGCAGCCGGUGCAUACAUGUGUGAGGCGCCGUAUGGGUAGGGCGCACCAUAGGGCGGCGGAGCCGGAUACGCGCCCUGGCCAGGGUACGCGCCAUAGGAGGGACGCGCAGGUGGCGAUGGGCCGUACGAGGCCACAUACAGCGGGUAGCCGCCAGGGCCGCCGUGAUUGACAUGGGCGACGUCGGCAACAGUAGGGCCGACUGCGGUGUAGAUGGAGGCAGCCGGAGCAGGUGCGACCGCACGCAUCUGGUGCGACGCAGUAGGUGGCGGCGGCGCGGGCACAAGGGAGUGCAUGGCAGCCGGAGGCGGCGGCGGUUGCUGGGACCGGGCCGAAGCAGCGGGCGAUGAGGAUGACACGCCGGCGUACAGCGAAGACACCGGGCCGGCGAAGAGAGACCCCGCCGAUUGGGUCUGCAGGGGGCCGAGCGAUCCAUCCUCCGUGUAGGGCACAGUCCCGGCGUUGAGGAGACGCGCGAGGGACGGCGGGAGGAACAAGUGGUCCAUGUGGAUGGGGGCCGGCGGCAGAAGGGCGGGGAAGGAGACCGCGGUGCCGGCGGCGCUUGAGGCGACGGCGGCGGCUGGCGGCGGAGGCGAGCGGAAGACAUUAGAUCGUUAGGUCGGAUACCAUAAUAGACAAGGGUUUUAGGGUUUGGCACACCUCCAACGUGGGGUGGCCUUUCCAUUAUAUAGAGAGGUACAUAAUAAUGUACAACACAAUUACAAAAUGGGGCCCAGUAUAUACAGAGUCUAACAGAAAGCAACGGCAAAACCGUUGAUCAGUUCCACGGGAUUAGCUAAUUUGGGUCAAAAUAUCUAGGAUUUUUUAAACAGCGCUGAUACAAUCAUCCAAUCCAACCCGUGAACUUCAGUUUUUUGCCUUGACUGCAACUUGAUUAAUUUGCUUAUGUCAUUGGUCGGACUGGAUUGUAUUGCAUUUAGUAAGAAGACUGUCUCGUUGAUUUUAUCGUCGUGGCCGAUAAUUGCGUCAUAAUAGCAUGGGGUGACUCGGGUUUGAAUUUCGGUCAGGAUAUUCAGCAGAACAUCCGAGAACCUGAUAAGAACAUGCCCAUCUCGAUCGACCGAUGCAUGCUUGCGUGGCCACCGACGAGUAGCCAAGCAAACAACUGAGCGAUUAUCGUCAAAGUCUAAAAGUGUCCGUGUCCUUUGAUGUGGACGCGGAGACAAAUUCAACUUCGAACAAAGCUAGGCGGGGUUAAGACGCGAGUGUUGUCAUCGCCAUGAAUUUAUAUUUAGAGAGAGUGAUUGUGAAGACCGAUAGGAUGAAUUCUUAAACUGUUUGCUGGCUGGCCACAAAAAUCCACUUUUACGUGAAUACUACGUACGUACACCACUAUGCAUCUGCCAACAAAAGUUAAUAACAUAAUAACAUCAUUGUUAAGCGAUGGUAUAUAGCAUAGCAAUACUUAUCAUCUACUUAGGGUUUGCCCAGGAGUUAUUAGUUUAACAGGAACGAUCACGCAAGCUCCAAAGGCAAGUGGGGGAUCGAGACUGACAUCAAGCAGAGCACAACCAAGCAGAGCACAAACAAUGACAAAACAGGCCUAAGAUAUGGUGAGGUAGACGCCAUUAUUAGAGUACAGAACGGAGUCCACUAUAACGGAAAACUAAAGCCGGACUCCCACCGCUGGAGCGCUGCCCGUGAUUCCGGACUGUACGGCAUGGGCCCCACGAGAGAUGUGAGAGUUUUGGCUUAAACUAGGCAGGGCAAAGCCUUUGGUAGAAGUACGUACGUGAGUAGUAUAACUGGUUAGGCGUACUACCAGUAGUUGGCAUCUCGACGACGAGGUGUCUACGGUAACUUCGUAAAUUUGAAGAUGAUAUGUCGGCUCAGUCUUUAUGAGGUGCUCAUAGGGGUAGGGUAUGCGUGUGUGCGUUCAUAGGGAUGAGUGUAUGUGCGUGUAUAUGAGCGCUUGCGUCUGUACUGUGUUAAAAAAAAUCACUACACUUGCGCGACCUCGUUUUGUUUAUUGGAUUUUUUUGAGAACUUGUUUAUUGGAUUCAUGGCCGGGACAAGGUCCUGUCGCCGGGAGGACGCCGGACAACCAGAGCCAGGGGAGUUGGGUGGCCAAGCGAGGCGGAGCAUACGGGAGGGCGGAGGUGGGGGACGCGUCGCGCCAGGGCAAUGCCGGUGACGACGGCGGGGACGGACUGCGGCGGCGACGCCAGAUUUGACCCAGAGGGGCACCAUCGGGAAGGCCACCUGGAAGCGCGGGAGGGAGAGACACCACCGGAUCCACCACCAGGACGAACGUCGUCGGCCGUCAGGCCGCCAGGAGGGGCGCCGACGAGCCACUAGGUGGCGGGCCGCCAGCGGCGGGGCCUCGCAUGAGGAGAGCCGCACCACAGGGGGGAAAUCACGCCGCCGCCGCUACGACGCGGGUUUCGCCCGGUAGUGGUCUCUAACGUCGGCAGGGGGUAGCCGGAGAAGGGGUGGGCCGGCCGCGGCGCAGUUGCCGGCUGCUGCCUGUGUCGCCUAGGGUAGGCGUCGCGGGGCCGAGCUGGGGUGUCCCUAACGGGAACCAACUGACGAACGCGGCAUCAAACCGCCUUGCUAGUUGUUUGUCUCCUUUUUUUUACGGGAACACUAACGCCCACACGUGUGGGCGUUUGCAUCUCACCCACACGCGUGGAUCCGCGUACGUUUGUGGGUUCAUGAAUCUUGGCAUGUUUGUGGUGCCAUGUAGGACUUGGCUGGUGUGUGGGCAUUCACCCGGUAGCCCACACGUUCGUUUCACCACACGGAGGGGCCGGUAUGUGGGCGUUUAGCAGUUCGUCCACACGCUAGUUUUCACUCACGCACAAGGGCUGGUGUGUGGGCAUUUGCCAUCUCGCCCAGACGCCCAUCUCCUCUUUCCACACCCAAGCUGCCAGUUUUCAUGCGUUUUGCAGUGUACAUGGCAACUGCCCUAGCGUGCUUGUAAGCAGAUGACAACUCUAUUUUUUUACCCGAACAUGUCAGUUGCCAUGUGUUUUGCAGGUUACACGACAACUGCCCUAGUGUGCUUUGUAAGCAGAUGGCAACUCUUUCUUUUAUCCGAACAUGUUGUUUUGCCAUGUCUUUUUGUAGCGCUACACGGCAACUGCCUAGUGUUAGUAGGUGGCAACUCCUAAGGUUUUCAAAUCAUGACAACUGUAGUAAACCAGAUCAUACAUGGCAACUGCUUAGUGUUAGUAGGUGGCAACCUCUAAAGUUUUCAAAUCAUGGCAACUAUAGUAAACCAGACCAUACAUGGCAACAGCUGCAGUUGUCCAAAAUGGCAUCUGGCACUUGACUUGAGAUGACAACUGCAGUUGAGCAACCAUGGCAACUGUAGUUGUUCGACAUGGCAACUAUAGUUCAGCGAUAUGACAACUGCAGUUAAACGGACAAUGAAGAGGGUCCGGACCAUGGCAACUGUGGGGACGCGUGGUGACUGUCACGCGGGGCGUGCGAGACCGUGAGAUAGGUGGCUGAGAGAGGUCGUGUGGGCGUUAUGCAUUUUGCCCAUACGUAGGCGUGUGAGAGAGACCGCAAGGAAAAAGUAGACGUGUGGGCGCUAAUUGUUUUGCCCACACGUAGGCGUGUAGGCUGGUUCUCUUAGACAUCACACAAAACGUGUGAGCAAACCUCUUAACACCCACACGUGUGGCAGUUAUCGUCGUCUUUUUUUAUGGGGGCGUAGAGUAGUACAAACGCAGAACUUUGCAUUACCAAAUUUUAACUAGCUUAGAUUAUACUAGUAUAUUGUCGCCACCAAGGCAACGUACGUACGUGCUUUGCAGAGGAUACAACUUGAACGAGCACAUAUAAUUAUAGAACAAUGCUAUUUUUUUAGACAAAUUAGCAAAAAGGUCCGUGUGUUGCAACGGAAGAAAAAAUACUACACACUCUUAAUUUACCAAAAAAGUUUUAUAAUCUGAGAAUUUGUAGUUAUUUCUUAAAUACAUGAAGAGUUAAAAAGGUUGUUAAUAAGAUACAGGGUUUUUUAUCAUCAAAAAAGAGAUUUUUUUAUCUGGAAAAGAACAUUUUUCCUGGCCUCAUGUUGACGCAGGUACUUGCGCUCCUAUUUCAUCACUAUUUCUUGUCAUACAUGUCGUAGGUAUUGGUCCCUGUUUCAUCACUAUUUAUUUCUUAUCAAACUUGUCUUCUAUUUUAUUUUUUGUCAUGCAUGCCUUCUUUUUACUUUUUUCAUGCAAGUCCUCUUUUUUUUCUUAUAUAUAUAGGAGAAUAGCACAACAUCUCAUCUUUAUCGGAUCUCCUCUGCAUUUUCUCUUUUAUUAUUUUAUAACGGACAUCCCAUCUUUAUUUGGUCCUUUUAUUUCUUGUCAUGCAUGUCCUUAUUUAUUGGUGUCUCUAACAAAUUUAUCUUCAAUUUGAUGUCCAAUCCUGAUUUUGAUGAGGUGUUCAUCCCCAAUCUGAAUCAGUACCGGUAUGAAAAAAAAGACAGAUAAUGCACUGCUGAUUAACAUUGGUGCCUAGAUAUUUUUUUUUUAAAUUUAACAGGUAAAAUAACAUCAUAUUUAUAUUCUACAUAUUUUUCUAAUCAAAUUUCAUAUAUAAUAUGUUAAAUUUGGAGUUACGGUUUAAAAGAUAUGAGUAUUUUAAAAAACGUUUGAUAUGUACUGCGGGUUUAAUGUUAGAAACAUCAAGGGGUUUUCUACAAAAUAGCAUGACGGACUAAGAAUACCUAUUUCUUUUAUUAGUAGGUAUAGAUAUAGAUAGAUAUGUAUAGAUAUAGAUUAUAGAACAUGGUAAUGCGAACACAGCUGCGCCAUUGGGGGAGUUUGUAUCAUUGUAUGGCCCUGGAAGAGAAAAGGCCCAUUAACAUUAACAGAUCGUUUCCCCGCGGCAAAAGCGAACCUUUUUUUUUUAGUGGCGGCAAAAGCGAACUGCCACCGAUGAAAGCAACAGUUGCUAGUACAGCUGGGAAGUACUCCUUCUGUACCAAAAUACUUACUCCAGCUACAAGUAUUUCGGUACAGUGAUAGUAUAUACGUGAUGAUCAUGCAUGCGCUGUGAGAGACGGAGAGGAGCCUUUAGUCCCGGUUCUGGAACUGGUACUAAAGGGUCGUUACUAAAGCCUCCAGGGUCGUUACCAAAGCAUCCCCUUUAGUCCUGGUUCUUACACGAACCGGGACUAAAGGCCGUCCACGUGGCCGCAGCCUGGAGCUCCACCUUUAGUCCCGGUUUUUUUGAAUUUUUUAUUUUCAAAUUUCUGAAUUAUUUUAACCUCUAAUCUCUAAUCACCACCCCUCAUCACUGCUCAAUUUAACCUCUAAUCACUAAUCACCCCUCAUCAUUCCAAAUCAUCUAACUUCCUAGACGGUAACAUUACCGUCCACGUCCGUCUUCUUCUCAAAGAUCCAUUUAUCUCGGAUUUCAUGGCUUCUAACCAUUUGUCGAAAUAUGGGCCCACCAUCGCUUCUCCAUAGCUCGUAGGUUCAGUAUUGUCCAACAACAUGAUAUCUCAGACAGGAUCACGUACCACUCUGAAGUAGCACGCAUCCUCGUCGUCCUACGAGGUUUGGUAGUGACUUGAUCCGAAGUUUCAUGAUCACUAUCAUAAGCUUCCACUUCAAUUGGUGUAGGUGCCACAGGAACAACGUCCUGUGCCCUGCUACACACUAGUUGAAGUUAUGGUUCAAUAACCUCAUCAAGUCUCCACCAUCCUCCCACUCAAUUCUUUCGAGAGAAACUUUUCCUCGAGAAAGGACCUGUUUCUAGAAGCAAUUACUUUUUGCUUCCAGAUCUGAAAUAGGAGGCAUACCCAACUGUUUUGGGUAUUCUAUGAAGACGCAUUUAUCCGCUUUGGGUUCGAGCUUAUCAGCCUGAAACUUUUUCACAUAAGCAUCGCAGCCCCAAACUUUUAAGAAACGACAACUUAGGUUUCUCUAAACGGUGUCAUCUCAACGGAAUUGCGUGGUGCCCCUUUUAAAGUGAAUGCGGUUGUCUCUAAUGCCUAACCCAUAAACGAUAGUGGUAAUUCGAUAAGAGACAUCAUGGUAUGCACCAUAUCCUAUAGGGUGUAGUUAUGAUGUUCGGACACACCAUCACACUAUGGUGUUCCAGGUGGUAUUAAUUGUGAAACACUUUCCACAAUGUCUUAAUUGUGUGCCAAACUCGUAACUCAGAUACUCAUCUCUAUGAUCAUAUCACAGACAUUUUAUCCUCUUGUCACUACGAUCUUCAACUUCACUCUGAAAUUACUUGAACCUUUCAAUAAUUCAGACUUGUGUUUUAUCAAGCAAAUACACUCAACAUCUACUCAAACCAUCUGUGAAGUAAGAACAUAACGAUAUCCACUGCAUGCCUCAGCACUCAUUGGACUGCAUACAUCAAAAUGUAUUACUUCCAAUAAGUUGGUCUCUUGUUUCAUCUUACUGAAAAUGAGGCCUUUCAGUCAUCUUGCCCAUGUGGUAUGAUUUGCAUGUCUCAGGUGAUUCAAAAUCAGGUGAGUCCAAACGAUCCAUCUACAUGGAGUUUCUUCAUGCAUAUAUACCAAUAGACAUGGUUCGCAUGUCUCAAUCUUUUCAAAAACGGCUGAGUCCAAAGAUCCAUCUACAUGGAGCUUCUUCAUGCGUUCUAUACCAAUAUGACUCAAAUGGCAGUGCCACAAGUAUGUGGAACUAUCAUUACUAUUUUAUAUCCUUUGGUACGAACAUGUGUAUCACUACGAUCGAGAUUUAUUUUAGGUGCAAGACCAUUGAAGGUAUUAUUCAAAUAAACAGAGCAACCAUUAUUCUCCUUAAAUGAAUAACCGUAUUGCGAUAAACAUAAUCUAAUCAUGCUCAACGCAAACACCAAAUCUCGAUGGUAGAGGGAGCAUGCGAUGCUUGAUCACAUCAACCUUGGAAACACUUCCAACACAUAUCGUCAUCUCACCUUUAGCUAGUCUCCGUUUAUUCCGCAGCUUUUAUUUCGAGUUACUAACACUUAGCAACCGAACCGGUAUCUAAUACCCUAGUGCUGCUAGGAGUACUAGUAAAGUACACAUUCAUAUAACGCAUAUCCAAUAUACUUCUGUCGACCUUGCCCGCCUUCUCAUCUACCAAGUAUCUAGGGUAGUACUGCUUCAGUGACCGUUCCCCUCAUUACAGAAGCACUUAGUCUCGGGUUUGGGUUCAACCUUGGGAUUCUUCACUAGAGCAGCAAACGAUUUGCUGUUUCAUGAAGUAUCCCUUUUGCCCUUGCCCUUCUAGAAACUAGUGGUUUUACUAACCAUCAAAAAUUGAUGCUCCUUCUUGAUUUCUACUUUCGCGGUGUCAAACAUCGCGAAUAGCUCAAGGAUCAUCAUAACUAUCCCUGAUAUGUUAUAGUUCAUCACGAAGCUCUACUAGCUUGGUGGCAGUGACUAUGGAGAACCAUCACUAUCUCAUCUGGGAGAUUAACUCCCACUCGAUUCAAGCGAUUGUGGUACUCAGACAAUCUGAGCACAUGCUCAACGAUUGAGCUUUUCUCCCUUAGUUUGCAGGCUUAAGAAACUUGUCAGAGGUCUCAUACCUCUUGACGUGGGCACUAGUCUGAAAUCCCAAUUUCAGUCUUCGGAACAUCUCAUAUGUUCUGCGACGUUUCAAAACCGUCUUUGGUGCCACAAUUCUAAACCGUUAGCAUUACGCACUGAACUAUCACGUAGUUAUCAAAACGUGUAUGUCAGAUGUUCCGCAACAUCUACAGACGACGCUGAGGUUCAGCACACCGAGCGGUGCAUUAAGGACAUAAGCCUUCUGUGCAGCAAUGAGGACAAUCCUCAGUUUACGGACCCAGUCCGCAUAAUUGCUACUACCAACUUUCAACUAAAUUUUUCUCUAGGAACAUAUCUUAACCAGUAGAACUAAAGCGCAAGCUAUGACAUAAUUUGCAAAGACCUUCUGACUAUGUUCAUGAUAAUUAAGUUCAUCUGAUUAAUGAACUCCCACUCAGAUAGACAUCCCUCUAGUCAUCUAAGUGAUACAUGAUCCGAGUCAAACUAGGCCGUGUCCGAUCAUCACGUGAGACGGACUAGUCAUCAUCGGUGAACAUCUCCAUGUUGAUCGUAUCUACUAUACGACUCAUGUUCGACCUUUCGAGCUCUUGUGUUCCGAGGCCAUGUCUGUACAUGCUAGGCUCGUCAAGUCAACCUAAAUGUUUUGCAUGUGUUCCGAGGCCAUGUCUGUACAUGCUAGGCUCGUCAACACCCGUUGUAUUCGAACGUUAGAAUCUAUCACACCCGAUCAUCACGUGGUGCUUCGAAACAACGAACCUUCGCAACGGUGCACAGUUAGGGGGAACACGUCUCUUGAAAUUUUUAGUGAGGGAUCAUCUUAUUUAUGCUACCGUCGUUCUAAGCAAAUAAGAUGUAAACGUGAUAAACAUCACAUGCAAUCAAAUAGUGACAUGAUAUGGCCAAUAUCAUUUUGCUCCUUUGAUCUCCAUCUUCGGGGCACCAUGAUCAUCUUUGUCACCGGCAUGACACCAUGAUCUCCAUCAUCAUGAUCUCCAUCAUUGUGUCUUCAUGAAGUUGUCACGCCAACGAUUACUUCUACUUCUAUGGCUAACGCGCUUAGCAAUAAAGUAAAGUAAUUUACAUGGCGUUAUUCAAUGACACGCAGGUCAUACAAAAAAUAAAGACAACUCCUAUGGCUCCUGCCGGUUGUCAUACUCAUCGACAUGCAAGUCGUGAUUCCUAUUACAAGAAUAUGAUCAAUCUCAUACAUCACAUAUAUCAUUCAUCACAUCUUCUGGCCAUAUCACAUCACAUAGCACAUGCUGCAAAAACAAGUUAGACGUCCUCUAAUUGUUGUUGCAAGUUUUUACGUGGCUUGUAUAGGUUUCUAGCAAGAACGUUUCUUACCUACGUAAAACCACAACGUGAUAUGCCAAUUUCUAUUUACCCUUCAUAAGGACCCUUUUCAUCGAAUCCGUUCCGACUAAAGUGGGAGAGACAGACACCCGGUAGCCACCUUAUGCAACCAGUGCAUGUCAGUCGGUGGAACUUGUCUCACGUAAGCGUACGUGUAAGGUCGGUCCGGGCCGCUUCAUCCCACAAUGCCGCCGAAACAAGAUAAGACUAGUAGCGGCAAGAAGAAUUGACAACAUCGACGCCCACAACUACUUUGUGUUCUACUCGUGCAUAGAAACUACGCAUAGACCUAGCUCAUGAUGCCACUGUAGGGGAACGUAGCAGAAAUUCAAAAUUUUCUACGCAUCACCAAGAUCAAUCUAUGGAGUAAUCUAGCAACGAGGGGGAGGAGAGUGCAUCUACAUACCCUUGUAGAUCGCGAUGCGGAAGCGUUGCAAGAACGCGGAUGAAGGAGUCGUACUCGUAGCGAUUCAGAUCGCGGUUGAUUCCGAUCUAAGCACCGAAGAACGGUGCCUCCGCGUUCAACACACGUGCAGCCCGGUGACGUCUCCCACGCCUUGAUCCAGUAAGGAGAGAGGGAGAGGUUGGGGAAGACUCCAUCCAGCAGCAGCACGACGGCGUGGUGGAGAUGGAGGAGCGUGGCAAUCCCGUAGGGCUUCGCCAAGCACCGCGGGAGAGGAGGAGGAGGGAGAGGGGUAGGGCUGCGCCGAAAGAGAGACGUUCUCAUGUGUCUUGGGCAGCCCAAACCUCAACUAUAUAUAGGGGGGAGGGGGCUGCGCCCCCUCUAGGGUUCCCACCCCAAGAGGAGGCGGCCAGCCCUAGAUCCCAUCAAGGGGGGCGGCCAAGGGGAGGAGAGGGGGGGCGCCCCACUAGAUGGGCCCUAAGGCCCAUCUGGACCUAGGGUUUGCCCCCUCCCACUCUCCCAUGCGCCUUGGGCCUUGGUGGGGGGCGCACCAGCCCACCUAGGGCUGGUCCCCUCCCACACUUGGCCCACGCAGCCUUCUGGGGCUGGUGGCCCCACUGGGUGGACCCCCGGGACCCUCCCGGUGGUCCCGGUACAUUAUCGAUAUCACCCGAAACUUUUCCGGUGACCAAAACAGGACUUCCCAUAUAUAAAUCUUUACCUCCGGACCAUUCCGGAACUCCUCGUGACGUCCGGGAUCUCAUCCGGGACUCCGAACAACAUUCUGUAACCACGUACAUACUUUCCCUAUAACCCUAGCGUCAUCGAACCUUAAGUGUGCAGACCCUACGGGUUCGGGAACCAUGCAGACAUGACCGAGACGUUCUGCGGUCAAUAACCAACAGCGGGAUCUGGAUACCCAUGUUGGCUCCCACAUGUUCCACGAUGAUCUCAUCGGAUGAACCACGAUGUCGGAGAUUCAAUCAAUCCCGUAUUCAAUUCCCUUUGUCUAUCGGUAUGCUACUUGCCCGAGAUUCGAUCGUCGGUAUCCCGAUACCUUGUUCAAUCUCGUUACCGGCAAGUCUCUUUACUCGUUCCGUAACUCACAUCAUCCCGUGAUCAACUCCUUGGUCACAUUGUGCACAUUAUGAUGAUGUCCUACCGAGUGGGCCCAGAGAUACCUCUCCAUUUACACGGAGUGACAAAUCCCAGUCUCGAUUCGUGCCAACCCAACAGACACUUUCGGAGAUACCUGUAGUGCACCUUUAUAGCCACCCAGUUACGUUGUGACGUUUGGUACACCCAAAGCAUUCCUACGGUAUCCGGGAGUUGCACAAUCUCAUGGUCUAAGGAAAUGAUACUUGACAUUAGAAAAGCUCUGAGCAAACGAACUACACGAUCUUGUGCUAGGCUUAGGAUUGGGUCUCGUCCAUCACAUCAUUCUCCUGAUGAUGUGAUCCCGUUAUCAACGACAUCCAAUGUCCAUGGUCAGGAAACCGUAACCAUCUAUUGAUCAACGAGCUAGUCAACUAGAGGCUUACUAGGGACAUGGUGUUGUCUAUGUAUCCACACAUGUAUCUGAGUUUCCUAUCAAUACAAUUCUAGCAUGGAUAAUAAACGAUUAUCAUGAACAAGGAAAUAUAAUAAUAACCUAUUUAUUAUUGCCUCUAGGGCAUAUUUCCAACAAGGCCCACGCGCGGCAGGGGGCCCGAAGCCAGGAGGGGGCCCGAGCGCAAGGGAGCAUUCUCCCCUAGGGGCACCGGGAGGCGCGUAUGACGAUGGCGAGUCGACCGGCGGCGGUACCUGGUGAAAAGGAAAAGGCCUCUCGUCAAAGUAAACGUGCCGAGAAGUGAAAACUCGGUGGGAAACCGGAUCAUAACAACGAUAGCCUUUGGUGUUUGGUGGGUAUCCGAGAAAGAUGCAUGCCACAGAGCAAGGUGCGAGUUUAUGAGGAGUAGUGGAGGCGAUGCUAGGAUAACAGAGACAACCAAAAAUACGAAGAUCAUCAUAUGAGGGUGGGCUACCGAAGAGGAGAUGAUGUGGGGCAAAGUUCCCACGAGCACGAGUUGGACGAAUGUUGAUGAGGAGAGAGGCGGUGGAGAGAGCGUUCGGCCAAAACCGGGGUGGGACAUUGGCGUGGAAAAGAAGAGUGCACACACAAUCAUUGAGGAUGCGAAGGAUCCGUUCGGCACGACCAUUUUGUUGCGAGGUAUACGGGCAGGUGAGACGAAAAAUCGUGCCGUGUGUGGCAAGGAGGGUGCGAACUUCGACGUUGUCGAACUCCUUCCCAUUGUCUGUCUGCAAGGCAUGAAUGGGACGCCCAAACUGUUGGGAAUCGUAGCAUAAUUUAAAAUUUUCCUACGCUCACCAAGAUGCAUCUAUGGAGUCUACUAGCAACGAGGGGAAAGGAGUGGAUCUACAUACCCUUGUAGAUCGCGAGCGGAAGCGUUCCAAUGAACGUGGAUGACGGAGUCGUACUCGCCGUGAUCCAAAUCACCGAUGACCGAGUGCCGAACGGACGGCACCUCCGCGUUCAACACACGUACGGUGCAGCGACGUCUCCUCCUUUCUUGAUCCAGCAAGGGGGGAGGAGAGGUUGAUGGAGAUCCAACAGCACGACGGCGUGGUGGUGGAUGUAGCGGCUCUCCGGCAAGGCUUCGCCGAGCUUCUGCGCGCGAGAGAGAGGUGUUGCAGGGGAGGAGGGAGGCGCCAAAGGCUGUUGUGUGCUGCCCUCCCUCCCCCCCCUUUAUAUAGGCCCCCAAGGGGGGGUGCGCAGCCCUUGGAGAUGGGAUCUCCAAGGGGGGGGCGGCGGCCAAGGGGGAAGGGGUUGCCUUGCCCCCCAAGGCAAGGGGAAACUCCCCCCCCCUAGGGUUCCCAACCCUAGGCGCAUGGGGGGGAGGCCCAAAGUGGCGCCCCAGCCCAUUAGGGGCUGGUUCCCCUCCACUUUCAGCCCACGGGGCCCUCCGGGACAGGUGGCCCCACCCGGUGGACCCCCGGGACCCUUCCGGUGGUCCCGGUACAAUACCGAUAACCCCCGAAACUUUCCCGGUGGCCAAAACUGGACUUCCUAUAUAUAAUUCUUCACCUCCGGACCAUUCCGGAACCUCUCGUGACGUCCGGGAUCUCAUCCGGGACUCCGAACAACUUUCGGGUUUCCGCAUACAUAUAUCUCUACAACCCUAGCGUCACCGGACCUUAAGUGUGUAGACCCUACGGGUUCGGGAGACAUGAAGACAUGACCGAGACGCCUCUCCGGUCAAUAACCAACAGCGGGAUCUGGAUACCCAUGUUGGCUCCCACAUGUUCCACGAUGAUAUCAUCGGGUGAACCACGGUGUCGAGGAUUCAAUCAAUCCGUAUGCAAUUCCCUUUGUCAAUCGGUAUGUUACUUGCCCGAGAUUCGAUCGUCGGUAUCCCAAUACCUUGUUCAAUCUCGUUACCGGCAAGUCUCUUUACUCGUACCGCAAUGCAUGAUCCCGUGACUAACGCCUUAGUCACAUUGAGCUCAUUAUGAUGAUGCAUUACCGAGUGGGCCCAGAGAUACCUCUCCGUUUACACGGAGUGACAAAUCCCAGUCUCGAUCCGUGCCAACCCAACAGACACUUUCGGAGAUACCCGUAAUGCACCUUUAUAGUCACCCAGUUACGUUGUGACGUUUGGCACACCCAAAGCACUCCUACGGUAUCCGGGAGUUGCACGAUCUCAUGGUCCAAGGAAAAGAUACUUGACAUUGGAAAAGCUCUAGCAAACGAAACUACACGAUCUUUUAUGCUAUGCUUAGGAUUGGGUCUUGUCCAUCACAUCAUUCUCCUAAUGAUGUGAUCCCGUUAUCAAUGACAUCCUAUGUCCAUAGUCAGGAAACCAUGACUAUCUGUUGAUCAACGAGCUAGUCAACUAGAGGCUUACUAGGGACAGGUUGUGGUCUAUGUAUUCACACAUGUAUUACGAUUUCCGGACAAUACAAUUAUAGCAUGAAUAAAAGACUAUUAUCAUGAACACAGAAAUAUAAUAAUAACCAUUUAUUAUUGCCUCUAGGGCAUAUUUCCAACAUUUCGGUCCUCCGUGUUCCGAGGCCAUGUCUGUACAUGCUAGGCUCGUCAAGUCAACCUAAGUGUAUUGCGUGUGUUCCGAGGCCAUGUCUGUACAUGCUAGGCUCGUCAACACCCGUUGUAUUCGAACGUUAGAAUCUAUCACACCCGAUCAUCACGUGGUGCUUCGAAACAACGAACCUUCGCAACGGUGCACAGUUAGGGUGAACACUUUCUUGAAAUUAUUAUAAGGGAUCAUCUUACUUACUACCGUCGUUCUAAGCAAAUAAGAUGCAAAAACAUGAUAAACAUCACAUGCAAUCAAAUAGUGACAUGAUAUGGCCAAUAUCAUCAUGCUCCUUUGAUCUCCAUCUUCGGGGCACCAUGAUCAUCUUCGUCACCGGCAUGACACCAUGAUCUCCAUCAUCAUGAUCUCCAUCAUUGUGUCUUCAUGAAGUCGUCACGCCAACGAUUACUUCUACUUACAUGGCUAACUCGUUUAGCAAUAAAGUAAAGUAAAUUACAUGGCGUUAUUCAAUGACACGCAGGUCAUGCAAAAUAAUAAAGACAACUCCUAUGGCUCCUGCCGGUUGUCAUACUCAUCGACAUGCAAGUCGUGAUUCCUAUUACAAGAAUAUGAUCAAUCUCAUACAUCACAUAUAUCAUUCAUCACAUCUUCUGGCCAUAUCACAUCACAUAGCACUUGCUGCAAAAACAAGUUAGACGUCCUCUAAUUGUUGUUGCAAGUUUUUACGUGGUUUGUAGGUUUCUAGCAAGAACGUUUUCUUGCCUACGUAUGACCACAACGUGAUUUGCCAAUUUCUAUUUACCCUUCAUAAGGACCCUUUUCAUCGAAUCCGUUCCGACUAAAGUAGGAGAGACAGACACCCGCUAGCCACCUUAUGCAACUAGUGCAUGUCAGUCGGUGGAACCUGUCUCACGUAAGCGUACGUGUAAGGUCGGUCCGGGCCGCUUCAUCCUACAAUGCCGCCGAAACAAGAAACGACUAGUAGCGGCAAGAAGAAUUGGCAACAUCAACGCCCACAACUUCUUUGUGUUCUACUCGUGCAUAGUAACUACGCAUAGGCCUGGCUCAUGAUGCCACUGUUGGGAAUCGUAGCAUAAUUUUAAAAUUUUCCUACGCUCACCAAGAUGCAUCUAUGGAGUCUACUAGCAACGAGGGGAAAGGAGUGGAUCUACAUACCCUUGUAGAUCGCGAGCGGAAGCGUUCCAAUGAACGUGGAUGACGGAGUCGUACUCGCCGUGAUCCAAAUCACCGAUGACCGAGUGCCGAACGGACGGCACCUCCGCGUUCAACACACGUACGGUGCAGCGACGUCUCCUCCUUUCUUGAUCCAGCAAGGGGGGAGGAGAGGUUGAUGGAGAUCCAACAGCACGACGGCGUGGUGGUGGAUGUAGCGGCUCUCCGGCAAGGCUUCGCCGAGCUUCUGCGCGCGAGAGAGAGGUGUUGCAGGGGAGGAGGGAGGCGCCAAAGGCUGUAGUGUGCUGCCCUCCCUCCCCCCCUUUAUAUAGGCCCCCAAGGGGGGGUGCGCAGCCCUUGGAGAUGGGAUCUCCAAGGGGGGGGGCGGCGGCCAAGGGGGAAGGGGUUGCCUUGCCCCCCAAGGCAAGGGGAAACUCCCCCCCUAGGGUUCCCAACCCUAGGCGCAUGGGGGGGAGGCCCAAAGUGGCGCCCCAGCCCAUUAGGGGCUGGUUCCCCUCCACUUUCAGCCCACGGGGCCCUCCGGGACAGGUGGCCCCACCCGGUGGACCCCCGGGACCCUUCCGGUGGUCCCGGUACAAUACCGAUAACCCCCGAAACUUUCCCGGUGGCCAAAACUGGACUUCCUAUAUAUAAUUCUUCACCUCCGGACCAUUCUGGAACCUCUCGUGAUGUCCGGGAUCUCAUCCGGGACUCCGAACAACUUUCGGGUUUCCGCAUACAUAUAUCUCUACAACCCUAGCGUCACCGGACCUUAAGUGUGUAGACCCUACGGGUUCGGGAGACAUGCAGACAUGACCGAGACGCCUCUCCGGUCAAUAACCAACAGCGGGAUCUGGAUACCCAUGUUGGCUCCCACAUGUUCCACGAUGAUAUCAUCGGGUGAACCACGGUGUCGAGGAUUCAAUCAAUCCGUAUGCAAUUCCCUUUGUCAAUCGGUAUGUUACUUGCCCGAGAUUCGAUCGUCGGUAUCCCAAUACCUAGUUCAAUCUCGUUACCGGCAAGUCUCUUUACUCGUACCGCAAUGCAUGAUCCCGUGACUAACGCCUUAGUCACAUUGAGCUCAUUAUGAUGAUGCAUUACCGAGUGGACCCAGAGAUACCUCUCCGUUUACACGGAGUGACAAAUCCCAGUCUCGAUCCGUGCCAACCCAACAGACACUUUCGGAGAUACCCGUAAUGCACCUUUAUAGUCACCCAGUUACGUUGUGACGUUUGGCACACCCAAAGCACUCCUACGGUAUCCGGGAGUUGCACGAUCUCAUGGUCUAAGGAAAAGAUACUUGACAUUGGAAAAGCUCUAGCAAACGAAACUACACGAUCUUUUAUGCUAUGCUUAAGUUGGGUCUUGUCCAUCACAUCAUUCUCCUAAUGAUGUGAUCCCGUUAUCAAUGACAUCCUAUGUCCAUAGUCAGGAAACCAUGACUAUCUGUUGAUCAACGAGCUAGUCAACUAGAGGCUUACUAGGGACAGGUUGUGGUCUAUGUAUUCACACAUGUAUUACGAUUUCCGGACAAUACAAUUAUAGCAUGAAUAAAAGACUAUUAUCAUGAACACAGAAAUAUAAUAAUAACCAUUUAUUAUUGCCUCUAGGGCAUAUUUCCAACAGAUCGUAUCUUCUAUACGACUCAUGCUCGACCUUUCGGUCCUCCGUGUUCCGAGGCCAUGUCUGUACAUUCUAGGCUCGUCAAGUCAACCUAAGUGUAUUGCGUGUGUUCCGAGGCCAUGUCUGUACAUGCUAGGCUCGUCAACACCCGUUGUAUUCGAACGUUAGAAUCUAUCACACCCGAUCAUCACGUGGUGCUUCGAAACAACGAACCUUCGCAACGGUGCACAGUUAGGGUGAACACUUUCUUGAAAUUAUUAUAAGGGAUCAUCUUACUUACUACCGUCGUUCUAAGCAAAUAAGAUGCAAAAACAUGAUAAACAUCACAUGCAAUCAAAUAGUGACAUGAUAUGGCCAAUAUCAUCAUGCUCCUUUGAUCUCCAUCUUCGGGGCACCAUGAUCAUCUUCGUCACCGGCAUGACACCAUGAUCUCCAUCAUCAUGAUCUCCAUCAUUGUGUCUUCAUGAAGUCGUCACGCCAACGAUUACUUCUACUUCUAUGGCUAACGCGUUUAGCAACAAAGUAAAGUAAUUUACAUGGCGUUAUUAAUGACACGCAGGUCAUACAAAAUAAUAAAGACAACUCCUAUGGCUCCUGCCGGUUGUCAUACUCAUCGACAUGCAAGUCGUGAUUCCUAUUACAAGAAUAUGAUCAAUCUCAUACAUCACAUAUAUCAUUCAUCACAUCUUCUGGCCAUAUCACAUCACAUAGCACAUGCUGCAAAAACAAGUUAGACGUCCUCUAAUUGUUGUUGCAAGUUUUUACGUGGUUUGUAGGUUUCUAGCAAGAACGUUUCUUACCUACGUAUGACCACAAUGUGAUUUGCCAAUUUCUAUUUACCCUUCAUAAGGACCCUUUUCAUCGAAUCCGUUCCGACUAAAGUAGGAGAGACAGACACCCGCUAGCCACCUUAUGCAACUAGUGCAUGUCAGUCGGUGGAACCUGUCUCACGUAAGCGUACGUGUAAGGUCGGUCCGGGCCGCUUCAUCCUACAAUGCCGCCGAAACAAGAAACGACUAGUAGCGGCAAGAAGAAUUGGCAACAUCAACGCCCACAACUUCUUUGUGUUCUACUCGUGCAUAGUAACUACGCAUAAACCUGGCUCUGAUACCACUGUUGGGAAUCGUAGCAUAAUUUAAAAUUUUCCUACGCUCACCAAGAUGCAUCUAUGGAGUCUACUAGCAACGAGGGGAAAGGAGUGGAUCUACAUACCCUUGUAGAUCGCGAGCGGAAGCGUUCCAAUGAACGUGGAUGGCAGAGUCGUACUCGCCGUGAUCCAAAUCACCGAUGACCGAGUGCCGAACGGACGGCACCUCCGCGUUCAACACACGUACGGUGCAGCGACGUCUCCUCCUUUCUUGAUCCAGCAAGGGGGGAGGAGAGGUUGAUGGAGAUCCAACAGCACGACGGCGUGGUGGUGGAUGUAGCGGCUCUCCGGCAAGGCUUCGCCGAGCUUCUGCGCGCGAGAGAGAGGUGUUGCAGGGGAGGAGGGAGGCGCCAAGGCUGUCGUCUACUGCCCUCCCUCCCCCCCUUUAUAUAGGCCCCCAAGGGGGGGUGCGCAGCCCUUGGAGAUGGGAUCUCCAAGGGGGGGCGGCGGCCAAGGGGGAAGGGGUUGCCUUGCCCCCCAAGGCAAGGGGAAACUCCCCCCUAGGGUUCCCAACCCUAGGCGCAUGGGGGGGAGGCCCAAAGUGGCGCCCCAGCCCAUUAGGGGCUGGUUCCCCUCCACUUUCAGCCCACGGGGCCCUCCGGGACAGGUGGCCCCACCCGGUGGACCCCCGGGACCCUUCCGGUGGUCCCGGUACAAUACCGAUAACCCCCGAAACUUUCCCGGUGGCCAAAACUGGACUUCCUAUAUAUAAUUCUUCACCUCCGGACCAUUCCGGAACCUCUCGUGACGUCCGGGAUCUCAUCCGGGACUCCGAACAACUUUCGGGUUUCCGCAUACAUAUAUCUCUACAACCCUAGCGUCACCAGACCUUAAGUGUGUAGACCCUACGGGUUCGGGAGACAUGCAGACAUGACCGAGACGCCUCUCCGGUCAAUAACCAACAGCGGGAUCUGGAUACCCAUGUUGGCUCCCACAUGUUCCACGAUGAUAUCAUCGGGUGAACCACGGUGUCGAGGAUUCAAUCAAUCCGUAUGCAAUUCCCUUUGUCAAUCGGUAUGUUACUUGCCCGAGAUUCGAUCGUCGGUAUCCCAAUACCUUGUUCAAUCUCGUUACCGGCAAGUCUCUUUACUCGUACCGCAAUGCAUGAUCCCGUGACUAACGCCUUAGUCACAUUGAGCUCAUUAUGAUGAUGCAUUACCGAGUGGGCCCAGAGAUACCUCUCCGUUUACACGGAGUGACAAAUCCCAGUCUCGAUCCGUGCCAACCCAACAGACACUUUCGGAGAUACCCGUAAUGCACCUUUAUAGUCACCCAGUUACGUUGUGAAGUUUGGCACACCCAAAGCACUCCUACGGUAUCCGGGAGUUGCACGAUCUCAUGGUCUAAGGAAAAGAUACUUGACAUUGGAAAUGCUCUAGCAAACGAAACUACACGAUCUUUUAUGCUAUGCUUAAGUUGGGUCUUGUCCAUCACAUCAUUCUCCUAAUGAUGUGAUCCCGUUAUCAAUGACAUCCUAUGUCCAUAGUCAGGAAACCAUGACUAUCUGUUGAUCAACGAGCUAGUCAACUAGAGGCUUACUAGGGACAGGUUGUGGUCUAUGUAUUCACACAUGUAUUACGAUUUCCGGACAAUACAAUUAUAGCAUGAACAAUAGACUAUUAUCAUGAACACAGAAAUAUAAUAAUAACCAUUUAUUAUUGCCUCUAGGGCAUAUUUCCAACAGUCUCCCACUUGCACUAGAGUCAAUAAUCUAGUUACAUUGUGAUGAAUCGAACACCCAUUGCGUCCUGGUGUUGAUCAUGUUUUGCCCUAGGGAGAGGUUUAGUCAACGGAUCUGCUACAUUCAGGUCCGUGUGUACUUUACAAAUAUCUAUGUCUCCAUUUUGAACACUUUCACGAAUGGAGUUGAAGCGACGCUUGAUAUGCCUGGUCUUCCUGUGAAACCUGGGCUCCUUCGCAAGGGCAAUAGCUCCAGUGUUGUCACAGAAGAGAGUCAUUGGGCCCGACGCAUUGGGAAUCACCCCUAGGUCGGUAAUGAACUCCUUCAUCCAGACUGCUUCCUGUGCUGCCUCUGAGGCUGCCAUGUACUCCGCUUCACAUGUAGAUCCCGCCACGACGCUUUGCUUGCAACUGCACCAGCUUACUGCUCCUCUAUUCAAAAUAUACACGUAUCCGGUUUGUGACUUCGAGUCAUCCAGAUCUGUGUCGAAGCUAGCGUCGACGUAACCCUUUACGACGAGCUCUUCGUCACCUCCAUAAACGAGAAACAUAUCCUUAGUCCUCUUCAGGUACUUCAGGAUAUUCUUGACCGCUGUCCAGUGUUCCAUGCCGGGAUUACUUUGGUACCUUCCUACCAAACUUACGGCAAGGUUUACAUCAGGUCUGGUACACAGCAUGGCAUACAUAAUAGACCCUAUGGCCAAGGCAUAGGGGAUGACACUCAUCUUUUCUCUAUCUUCUGCCGUGGUCGGGCAUUGAGCCGUGCUCAAUUGCACACCUUGCAAUACAGGCAAGAACCCCUUCUUGGACUGAUCCAUAUUGAACUUCUUCAAUAUCUUGUCAAGGUACGUACUCUGUGAAAGACCAAUGAGGCGUCUUGAUCUAUCUCUAUAGAUCUUGAUGCCUAAUAUAUAAGCAGCUUCUCCAAGGUCCUUCAUUGAAAAACACUUAUUCAAAUAGGCCUUUAUACUUUCCAAGAAUUCUAUAUCAUUUCCCAUCAAUAGUAUGUCAUCCACAUAUAAUAAGAGAAAUGCUACAGAGCUCCCACUCACUUUCUUGUAAACACAGGCUUCUCCAUAAGUCUGUGUAAACCCAAACGCUUUGAUCAUCUCAUCAAAGCGAAUGUUCCAACUCCGAGAUGCUUGCACACUUUGUUAGCAUUCUUAGGAUCGACAAAACCUUCCGGCUGCAUCAUAUACAAUUCUUCCUUAAGGAAGCCGUUAAGGAAUGCCGUUUUGACGUCCAUCUGCCAUAUCUCAUAAUCAUAGUAUGCGGCAAUUGCUAACAUGAUUCGGACGGACUUCAGCUUCGCUACGGGUGAGAAAGUCUCAUCGUAGUCAACCCCUUGAACUUGUCGAUAACCCUUAGCGACAAGUCGAGCCUUAUAGAUGGUCACAUUACCAUCCGCGUCUGUCUUCUUCUUAAAGAUCCAUUUAUUUUCUAUGGCUCGCCGAUCAUCGGGCAAGUCAGUCAAAGUCCAUACUUCGUUUUCAUACAUGGAUCCUAUCUCGGAUUUCAUGGCUUCUAGCCAUUUGUCGGAAUCCGGGCCCGCCAUCGCUUCUUCAUAGUUCGAAGGUUCACCAUUGUCUAACAACAUGAUUUCCAGGACAGGGUUGCCGUACCACUCUGGUGCGGAACGUGUCCUUGUGGACCUACGAAGUUCAGUAACUUGAUCUGAAGCUUCAUGAUCAUCAUCAUUAACUUCCUCCCCAGUCGGUGUAGGCACCACAGGAACAUUUUCCCGCGCUGCGCUACUUUCCGGUUCGGAAGGGGUGACUAUCACCUCAUCAAGUUCCACUUUCCUCCCACUCAAUUCUUUCGAGAGAAACUCCUUCUCUAGAAAGGACCCGUUCUUGGCAACGAAGAUCUUGCCUUCGGAUCUGAGGUAGAAGGUAUACCCAAUAGUUUCCUUAGGGUAUCCUAUGAAGACGCAUUUUUCCGAUUUGGGUUCGAGCUUUUCAGGUUGAAGUUUCUUGACAUAAGCAUCGCAUCCCCAAACUUUUAGAAACGACAGCUUAGGUUUCUUCCCAAACCAUAAUUCAUACGGUGUCGUCUCAACGGAUUUAGACGGUGCCCUAUUUAAAGUGAAUGCGGCAGUCUCUAAAGCAUAACCCCAAAAUGAGAGCGGUAAGUCGGUAAGAGACAUCAUAGAUCGCACCAUAUCCAACAGAGUGCGAUUACGACGUUCGGACACACCAUUUCUCUGAGGUGUUCCAGGCGGCGUGAGUUGUGAAACUAUUCCACAUUUCCUUAAGUGUGUACCAAAUUCGUGACUUAAAUAUUCUCCACCACGAUCUGAUCGUAAGAAUUUUAUUUUCCUGUCACGUUGAUUCUCGACUUCACUCUGAAAUUCCUUGAACUUUUCAAAGGUUUCAGACUUGUGUUUCAUUAGGUAGACAUACCCAUAUCUACUUAAAUCAUCAGUGAGAGUGAGAACAUAACGAUAUCCUCCGCGAGCCUCAACGCUCAUUGGACCGCACACAUCGGUAUGUAUGAUUUCCAAUAAGUUGGUCGCUCGCUCCAUUGUUCCGGAGAACGGAGUCUUGGUCAUCUUACCCAUGAGGCAUGGUUCGCACGUGUCAAAUGAUUCGUAAUCAAGAGACUCCAAAAGUCCAUCUGCAUGGAGCUUCUUCAUGCGCUUGACACCAAUGUGACCAAGGCGGCAGUGCCACAAGUAUGUGGGACUAUCGUUAUCAACUUUACAUCUUUUGGUAUUCACACUAUGAACAUGUGUAGGAUCACGUUCGAGAUUCAUCAAGAAUAAACCAUUGACCAGCGGGGCAUGACCAUAAAACAUAUCUCUCAAAUAAAUAGAACAACCAUUAUUCUCAGAUUUAAAUGAGUAGCCAUCUCGAAUUAAACGAGAUCCAGAUACAAUGUUCAUGCUCAAAGCUGGCACUAAAUAACAAUUAUUGAGGUUUAUAACUAAUCCCGUGGGUAGAUGCAGAGGUAGCGUGCCGACGGCGAUCACAUCGACCUUGGAACCAUUCCCGACGCGCAUCGUCACCUCGUCUUUUGCCAGUCUCCGUUUAUUCCGUAGUUCCUGAUUUGAGUUACAAAUAUGAGCAACCGCACCGGUAUCAAAUACCCAGGAGCUACUGCGAGUACUGGUAAGGUACACAUCAAUUACUUGUAUAUCACAUAUACCUUGGGUGUUGCCGGCCUUCUUCUUGUCCGCUAAAUAUUUGGGGCAGUUCCGCUUCCAGUGACCACUUCCCUUGCAAUAAAAGCACUCAGUCUCGGGCUUGGGUCCAUUCUUUGACUUCUUCCCGGUAACUGGUUUACCGGGCGCGGCAACUCCCUUGCCGUCCUUCUUGAAGUUCUUCUUACCCUUGCCCUUCUUGAACUUAGUGGUUUUAUUCACCAUCAACACUUGAUGUUCCUUUUUGAUCUCCCCUUCCGCUGAUUUUAGCAUUGAAUAUACCUCGGGAAUGGUCUUUUCCAUCCCCUGCAUAUUGUAGUUCAUCACAAAGCUCUUGUAGCUUGGUGGAAGCGACUGGAGGAUUCUGUCAAUGACCGCGUCAUCCGGGAGAUUAACUCCCAGCUGAGACAAGCGGUUGUGUAACCCAGACAUUCUGAGUAUGUGCUCACUAACAGAACUGUUCUCCUCCAUUUUACAGCUGAAGAACUUGUCGGAGACAUCAUAUCUCUCGACCCGGGCAUGAGCUUGAAAAACCAGUUUCAGCUCCUCGAACAUCUCGUAUGCUCCAUGUUUCUCAAAACGCUUUUGGAGACCCGGUUCUAAGCUGUAAAGCAUGCCGCACUGAACGAGGGAGUAAUCAUCAGCACGCUGCUGCCAAGCGUUCAUAACGUCUUGGUUCUCAGGGAUUGGUGCUUCACCUAGCGGUGCUUCUAAGACAUAAUCUUUCUUGGCAACUAUGAGGAUGAGCCUCAGGUUCCGGACCCAGUCCGUAUAGUUGCUGCCAUCAUCUUUCAGCUUGGUUUUCUCUAGGAACGCGUUGAAAUUGAGGACAACGUGGGCCAUUUGAUCUACAAUACAUAGUGUAAAGAUUUUUUAGACUAAGUUCAUGAUAAUUAAGUUCAUAUAAUCAAAUGAUCUAAUGAACUCCCACUCAGAUAGACAUCCCUCUAGUUAUCUAAGUGAAACAUGAUCCGAACUCAACUAGGCCGUGUCCGAUCAUCACGUGAGACGGACUAGUCAAGAUCGGUGAACAUCUCCAUGUUGAUCGUAUCUUCUAUACGACUCAUGCUCGACCUUUCGGUCCUCCGUGUUCCGAGGCCAUGUCUGUACAUGCUAGGCUCGUCAAGUCAACCUAAGUGUAUUGCGUGUGUUCCGAGGCCAUGUCUGUACAUGCUAGGCUCGUCAACACCCGUUGUAUGCGAACGUAAGAAUCUAUCACACCCGAUCGUCACGUGGUGCUUCGAAACGACGAACCUUCGCAACGGUGCACAGUUAGGGUGAACACUUUCUUGAAAUUAUUAUAAGGGAUCAUCCUACUUGCUACCGUCGUACUAAGCAAAUAAGAUGCAAAAACAUGAUAAACAUCACAUGCAAUCAAACAGUGACAUGAUAUGGCCAAUAUCAUCAUGCUCCUUUGAUCUCCAUCUUCGGGGCACCAUGAUCAUCUUCGUCACCGGCAUGACACCAUGAUCUCCAUCAUCAUGAUCUCCAUCAUUGUGUCUUCAUGAAGUUGUCACGCCAACGAUUACUUCUACUUCUAUGGCUAACCGUUUAGCAACAAAGUAAAGUAAAUUACAUGGCGUUAUUCAAUGACACGCAGGUCAUGCAAAAUAAUAAAGACAACUCCUAUGGCUCCUGCCGGUUGUCAUACUCAUCGACAUGCAAGUCGUGAUUCCUAUUACAAGAAUAUGAUCAAUCUCAUACAUCACAUAGAUCAUUCAUCACAUCUUCUGGCCAUAUCAUAUCACAUAUAUCACUUGCUGCAAAAACAAGUUAGACGUCCUCUAAUUGUUGUUGCAAGUUUUUACGUGGUUUGUAGGUUUCUUAGCAAGAACGAUUUCUUACCUACGUAUGACCACAACGUGAUUUGCCAAUUUCUAUUUACCCUUCAUAAGGACCCUUUUCAUCGAAUCCGUUCCGACUAAAGUAGGAGAGACAGACACCCGCUAGCCACCUUAUGCAACUAGUGCAUGUCAGUCGGUGGAACCUGUCUCACGUAAGCGUACGUGUAAGGUCGGUCCGGGCCGCUUCAUCCUACAAUGCCGCCGAAACAAGAAACGACUAGUAGCGGCAAGAAGAAUUGGCAACAUCAACGCCCACAACUUCUUUGUGUUCUACUCGUGCAUAGUAACUACGCAUAGGCCUGGCUCAUGAUGCCACUGUUGGGAAUCGUAGCAUAAUUUAAAAUUUUCCUACGCUCACCAAGAUGCAUCUAUGGAGUCUACUAGCAACGAGGGGAAAGGAGUGGAUCUCCAUACCCUUGUAGAUCGCGAGCGGAAGCGUUCCAAUGAACGUGGAUGACGGAGUCGUACUCGCCGUGAUCCAAAUCACCGAUGACCGAGUGCCGAACGGACGGCACCUCCGCGUUCAACACACGUACGGUGCAGCGACGUCUCCUCCUUUCUUGAUCCAGCAAGGGGGGAGGAGAGGUUGAUGGAGAUCCAACAGCACGACGGCGUGGUGGUGGAUGUAGCGGCUCUCCGGCAAGGCUUCGCCGAGCUUCUGCGCGCGAGAGAGAGGUGUUGCAGGGGAGGAGGGAGGCGCCAAAGGCUGUUGUGUGCUGCCCUCCCUCCCCCCCCUUUAUAUAGGCCCCCAAGGGGGGGUGCGCAGGAUCUCCAAGGGGGGGGGGGGCGGCGGCCAAGGGGGAAGGGGUUGCCUUGCCCCCCAAGGCAAGGGGAAACUCCCCCCCUAGGGUUCCCAACCCUAGGCGCAUGGGGGGGAGGCCCAAAGUGGCGCCCCAGCCCAUUAGGGGCUGGUUCCCCUCCACUUUCAGCCCACGGGGCCCUCCGGGACAGGUGGCCCCACCCGGUGGACCCCCGGGACCCUUCCGGUGGUCCCGGUACAAUACCGAUAACCCCCGAAACUUUCCCGGUGGCCAAAACUGGACUUCCUAUAUAUAAUUCUUCACCUCCGGACCAUUCCGGAACCUCUCGUGACGUCCGGGACCUCAUCCGGGACUCCGAACAACUUUCGGGUUUCCGCAUACAUAUAUCUCUACAACCCUAGCGUCACCGGACCUUAAGUGUGUAGACCCUACGGGUUCGGGAGACAUGCAGACAUGACCGAGACGCCUCUCCGGUCAAUAACCAACAGCGGGAUCUGGAUACCCAUGUUGGCUCCCACAUGUUCCACGAUGAUAUCAUCGGGUGAACCACGGUGUCGAGGAUUCAAUCAAUCCGUAUGCAAUUCCCUUUGUCAAUCGGUAUGUUACUUGCCCGAGAUUCGAUCGUCGGUAUCCCAAUACCUAGUUCAAUCUCGUUACCGGCAAGUCUCUUUACUCGUACCGCAAUGCAUGAUCCCGUGACUAACGCCUUAGUCACAUUGAGCUCAUUAUGAUGAUGCAUUACCGAGUGGGCCCAGAGAUACCUCUCCGUUUACACGGAGUGACAAAUCCCAGUCUCGAUCCGUGCCAACCCAACAGACACUUUCGGAGAUACCCGUAAUGCACCUUUAUAGUCACUCAGUUACGUUGUGACGUUUGGCACACCCAAAGCACUCCUACGGUAUCCGGGAGUUGCACGAUCUCAUGGUCUAAGGAAAAGAUACUUGACAUUGGAAAAGCUCUAGCAAACGAAACUACACGAUCUUUUAUGCUAUGCUUAAGUUGGGUCUUGUCCAUCACAUCAUUCUCCUAAUGAUGUGAUCCCGUUAUCAAUGACAUCCUAUGUCCAUAGUCAGGAAACCAUGACUAUCUGUUGAUCAACGAGCUAGUCAACUAGAGGCUUACUAGGGACAGGUUGUGGUCUAUGUAUUCACACAUGUAUUACGAUUUCCGGACAAUACAAUUAUAGCAUGAACAAUAGACUAUUAUCAUGAACACAGAAAUAUAAUAAUAACCAUUUAUUAUUGCCUCUAGGGCAUAUUUCCAACACAAACUACGUAGCGACAUAGGAGUAAAAGGUAGUAAGAACGGAGAGUGCAUCGGAUUUUCUCCGCAACGGGAAGGUCCACACAUAGUGCGAAAAAUCAUCAAGUAUGCCAAGAUAGUAUAAAAAAACCCGUAUCACUGGCAACAGGAGAUGUCCACAAAUCACUAUGGAUCAACUCAAAUGGAUACGACGCCACCGAUGAGGACGCACUAAACGGAAGAUGGACAUGCUUGCCGAGAUGACAAGCAUGACAAGUAUGAUCAUCAGUUUUAUUACACGUGAAUGAAAAAGUCCUAAGAAUAUGACGAAGGGUGGCCAGGUUUGGAUGUCCAAGCCGAGCAUGCCAAAGGUCCACCGUGGCGGAGAGAGCAACCGGUGCGGAUGUGGAAGUGGCGGUGGAGUUCACUGGGUAGAGGCCGUCCGGGCUGUCACAUCGGUGGAGCACCAUCCGGGUACGAGCGUCCUUGACAGAAAAACCCACUUCGUCAAAUUCAACAGUUAUAGGAUUUUCACGUGUAAGAGAACGAACCGAAACAAGAUUAGUGACUAACUCAGGUGAAACUAAGACAUUAGACAUGUGAAUAGGCGUAGAGUUAGAUGGAAAGGAACCAUGACCGACAUGAGUAAUGGGAAGGGAAGACCCGUCCCCAACAGUGAUACGACAUGCGGUACAUACUGGAAAUACGGAGUUGAGGUUACCAGGGUUGGAAGUCAUGUGGGUGGUAGCCCCGGAAUCCAUAUACCAGUCGCUGCCUCCGGUGUACGUGUUGGGUGUAGGGGCGGAGUGAAGCGCCGCAAGGAGAGCCGGAUCCCAAGGGGCCGGCGGGAGUGCGGCGGUCGCGGCCGGAGGGGCGGCGGGGUAGCCACCAGGAGUGGCGUAGCUAGGCAUGGCCGCGGCGUAGCCACCCGGGGCGGUUUACGGAGGGGCCGCGAAAAACGCCUGAUGCACGCCGGGGCGGGGGCCGAGGAUCCCGGCCGGGACGGGGGCCCGCGGCACGGGCAUCGUGUACGCAUGGACCACCCCCGUCCAAGGGUUGGUCGCGGCGGCCCAGGGGGCCGGGGGCAGCUACUGCUGNNNNNNNNNNNNNNNNNNNNNNNNNNNNNNNNNNNNNNNNNNNNNNNNNNNNNNNNNNNNNNNNNNNNNNNNNNNNNNNNNNNNNNNNNNNNNNNNNNNNNNNNNNNNNNNNNNNNNNNNNNNNNNNNNNNNNNNNNNNNNNNNNNNNNNNNNNNNNNNNNNNNNNNNNNNNNNNNNNNNNNNNNNNNNNNNNNNNNNNNNNNNNNNNNNNNNNNNNNNNNNNNNNNNNNNNNNNNNNNNNNNNNNNNNNNNNNNNNNNNNNNNNNNNNNNNNNNNNNNNNNNNNNNNNNNNNNNNNNNNNNNNNNNNNNNNNNNNNNNNNNNNNNNNNNNNNNNNNNNNNNNNNNNNNNNNNNNNNNNNNNNNNNNNNNNNNNNNNNNNNNNNNNNNNNNNNNNNNNNNNNNNNNNNNNNNNNNNNNNNNNNNNNNNNNNNNNNNNUCGGCUGAUGUUGCUUCUUGCCGUGGCGCCCCCCGCGGCGGCGGUCAGGGGCAGGGGGCGGCGGCUGGUAGACGGGCGCCGGUGGCGCCUGAAAGUACGACGCCGGCGGCGGUGACGGCCGCGGCGGCUGCGGCGCCGUGUGAGGGGCGGCACGGGAGGUGCCCGCCGCGAGAGCCGUGUGCGUUGCCCAGGACUUCACCAUCUUCAUCCUCCUCUCCUCCAACCGAAGGUAGGCCACAACCCGAGGAAAGGUUGGGUCUGGGAGGAACGUGAGGUUGGAGGCCGCGUUGUCGAACUCCUCGUUCAGACCGGCGGUGAGCGUGCUGAGGAGGAGGUCGCCGGAUAACCGCUCCCGGCCGAGGUCGCGAAGUUCGUCAGCAAGUUUCUUAAGGCGCAUGCAAUAAUCGUCGAUGGACGAGUCAAGCUGAUGGCAGCCAAAAAAUUCCUGCUGAAGAAACACGCGGCGUUGGAGGGCGUUGUCGAGGAAGAGCCCGUUCAGCUUUGCCCACACCAUCUGCGCGUCAUCGGCGUCGCAAACGAUGGUGUGGAAGAUGUCCUUGGAGAUGGUUUCGUACAGCCAGCGAGUGAUGGUGGCGUCGAUGGUCAGCCAGUCGUCGUCCGCGUACAUGAGGACGGAGUCGACGGAGCCAUCGACGUGAUCGAUGAGGUGGUACUCGGGGAAGACGAGGGAGAAGUAGGUUUUCCAGGCAUAGUAGGUGGAGGAGGCGUAGUCAAGAAUGACGGGCACGCGGGCGAAGAUAUCGAGAUCGCGGAUGACCUCCACCGGGGGAGGGGCCGGACCGUCGAAGGGAUUGGAGGGGAGGGAGGCGGCGGAGUGGGGAGACGCCAUGGGUGCAGCGGCAACCGAGGGGAGGAGGUGCGGCACGACUGGCGGGGAGAUGCAAUCGGGUGGGAGCGGGUGGCGGCUCGGGAGGAGAGAGGGAUGGGGAGGGGUGAUGCGUGCGCGGCGGCGGGGUGAGGGUGCGGCGGCGGCGCAAGAGAUGGCGGCGGCGGCGGCUAGGAGCUGCGGCGGCUGCGGCUAGGAGCGGAAGCUAUGGUUGGAUCGGAAGGAAAACUGAUACCAUAUUGGAGGCAAUGCAAUUCUCAACGUAUUGAUCGGGUGCAGGGUGCACAUAUAUAUGGGUACAAGGGCAGCCCUCAGCCUCAUCUAUACAAGGAAACUAGAGGCAGGGCCGGUAGAAGAAUAUCCUAACAGAUACAUGCACAAAUAUGUUCAACACAAUGGUACGUGCGUUUGAUCGAGCUGUACGCGGCGAUACAUGUACCCGUAAAUGUGUCGGGGGCGGGGCUGGGUCGGUCGAUACUGUCUGUACCUUCCGCGACCCAUGCAAAUACAUCCACGCGACGCUGCCGGCCUAGCUAGCCAGGGAGCGCAAAGGUCGAUCGACGUGUAGUUGACGGUACUGGCUUAUUUUUAUGAUCACGUUCCUGCAUCAGCAUACACACGCAGCAGCGCUCCUACUUGACACCGACUGUAAAAGCUGUAUGACCCCAUACCCUCCCUGUUCAUCCCAACAAAGCAUGCGCUAGAAUAGUGUAACUUGCACGGUAAGUGGAGGCCGCCGUACGCGCUCCGAUUAGAAGGGCCAACACGUACGUGCCGCACACGAAGCAAUGCAUUGGAAGGGUCGAGGGGGCUCCGGCCGGCCGGGCCAUCGUGGGGCUCAUCCCACAUGGACGUGCAUGCAUGGCUCAACAGGUGGAGAACACGCACCCCGUUCACUCCUGUCGGGUUGCCAUGCCACCUUUCUCGUCAUCUCUGCUCAGGCUUGCUUGCUCUAAUCCCUUUCUGACCGACGCUGUUAAGCAUAGUACUGUACUAUGCGCUUCUUGCAUGCAUGCACAUGCAUGGGUCAAAAACGAUCGGUGCACCACGUAGAGACCAUACCAGUACGCCGUACACAUACCUGAUACGGUACCAAAAGGAGUCCGAAAACCAUGACAGGGAUCGAGCCCAGCUGUACCACUUGGAUCCACUCGAUCAUCGUAUCCGAAUCCACAUCCACGAGAUCUUGGGCACGAUCACCUCGGAAGCCGCAAAACCUUUCUGAGACCUCGGUCACAUCACAUGGAGUGGGAGACUGUGCCUGCAUGCCGUCGCCAUGUCCAGAAGAGCACACUACAUGGACGGCAUCAUGGACGCAGCAGUAGCACCAUCGGCCAUCGAUCCAACUCGCCGUAACCUUUGCGCUUUCGGUGCGCCCAUGACUGACGCCCAGGCACAAACAAAUGCAACCUAUGUACAGUAGUACCUACCUAGGAGUAGGCUGCUGUAGGUCGGUAACUGUGUCGCAGUCUCACUGGUGCCUCCCUCUAUAUCUCUGCCUUGUUUUACUUUCUACUUUCACUGACGUGUAGUCCCGCGUUAGAGCGGUGCAGUAUGCGGCCGUGUUUGCAUACCGACGGGGCAGCAGGUACCAUCUUUAGGCCAACUCCACCGCGCCACCCCAAACGGACGUCCGUUUUGUCCGAAUUCUGUCCGUUUGGGUAGGGAUUUGGGGUCGUGUCCGGGCGUGUUCUGGGAUGCGGUGGCCGAGCGCCCAGCGCGCGGCCGCAUCCAUUUGCCCCAUCCUGUCCGCGUCUAUUUAAAAAACCAAAAGCAACGUUUCAAAUGCCAAGCCCUAGUUGAGGCCAGCAGCCCGGUUCAUCACGCCGGCAACAGAGCCAGCGGCCUACACGUCCAUCGCCGGCAUCAGCCAGCGGCCGGCAACACAGCCAGCCUCCAAAAUGAAUAGUUGUCCUCGCCGGCAACACAGCCAGCGGCCGGCAACACAGCCGGCCUCCAGAAUGAAUGUUUUCUCACCGGCACAUUGCCAGCGGCCCAGCGGGCGGGCGGCACCCAUGCCAGCCUCCAAAAAAGAACGGCCGACGCCGAUCGGACGACCUAGUUCAGGCCUUCGGCAUCGAGCAUCUCCUUCUGCCUGGCCUCGAACCAGGCCCUCGUCUUCUUGCUCAUCUUCGACAAGUCCACGCUCAUGAUCGCAAGGGCCACCUCCUUCGCUUUGGUGGCGGCAUUGGUGGCCUCGAUGUCGAGCUACCUCUGCCUGGCCUUGACGUUGUCGGCCUCGAUGUCGAGCUGCCUUUGCCGGGCCGCCUCCUCCAUGUCGAGCUGCCUUUGCUGGGCCGUCUCCUCCAUGUCGAUCUUCCUCCGCUUGGCCGCCUCCUUCAUCUCAAGCUUCUGUCUUUGAAGGUCUAGGUAUUGCUUCAUUUGCUCGUCCUUGCUUUGCCGCUUCUUCUCGUACCUCACAUCCUUUUGGAACAUCAUGCCAUGCAAAGUCUCAUGCAAGGCCAUGGAUGAGGCAUCACGUAUGUCGUCAACCUUAGAGUUGGUCUUGCCCCUCGGCCUCUUCAACGCCUCGCCAUCUCCACCUCCGGCGAACUUGGCGGUCUUCUUGCCUCUCUUCCUUUGUAGUUCACGGUAUUGGUCCAUGAACUUAGGGCAAUUGUUGAUGAUCGUCCAACAAUGCGUAAGAGUGAAUGGCUUGUCAUUGUGCCAGGCCUUGAAUGCCUCCAAAGAUUGAAAUGCCUACACCACAUGAUCAACAACAAGUGAACAUGCAAACAUAUACACGGCCGAAAUCUCAUGGCCGUAGCAAGGAAAGGGCUAGAAAGAGGAGAGCAUACCAUGUCCCCAACGUCGAGACCACUCACGGGCCGUGCUUCAACGCUCUCAAAUGCGGCGCAAUACUUGUUGCACUCUUGUUGGAUGAACAACCAUCUCUUUUGAAUCGAGCCGAUGCCACGGUUGCUUGUAAUUUGGUAGGGCUCAAACAUCUUCCUUUCAUGGAAUGUUUUGUGGACUCUCGUCUAAAAAACAAUGCCAUUUUGUUGCGCGCCGGUCCUCGGAUCUUGGCUAAUCUCCAUUCAAGCUUGGCAAAUCAACUUGUCCUCAUCUUGUGUAUAUGAACCCGUGCGAAUGCUCUUCCUCUUCUUUUGUGCUUCCGCUCUUUGGGUGAGCUCGUCGAUGAACAAUGGCGCCCCACUAAUAUCAACGUCAUUGCCUUCUUCUUCUUCUUCUUCUUCAUCACCAUCACCUUCGACAUAGAUGUCAUCGUCUUCACGCCACGAGUCACCAUGGUCGUAGUCAGCACGGUUGUCGGCCUCUUCAUUGGGGACGUACUGGGCGCGGCCAUCCUGACUUUGGGUCUCCUCGGGGUCGUAGGCACGGCCAUGCCCACCCUCGAAGAUCACGUCCUCCAUGUACUGGUUGUAGAAGGGGUUGUCGACCGUUGGCGUUGGGGUUGGCAUUCCGUCAAACAAGACGCCGGGGGCCGGCAUGGUGCCCGUGAACGGUGCCCGUGCCUGCUUUAUUUGCAUCUCGACGGACGGCCGCCUGCCGCUGCUGGACCCAGGCGUGACGUUGAGGUCGAUGACGGCCGCGGGGCGCGGUUUGGACGGCGCGAACAAGCCCACGUCCGGCGACGCCGAGAAACGGGUCUGGCCAUCGUGCCUUGGAGGAGGAAAGCCGGGCGACAUGGGCGCGGUGCGCGACGUCGGCGACUGGCAGUGCGUAGGCCGGGCGACCGACGAGCCUGUGCUCGCCGGGCCGACGGCCGCUGCAGGGAACCCGGCCGGACAGGCCAUGCCAAGCAUGAGGAUGGCGCGCGCUUUGUUGACGAGGUCCUCCUUCUCAUCGGCAGCAGCCUUGCGCCGCGCGGCCUCCAGCUCCUCGCACUGGGCGGCGAACUUGGCCGCGGCGGCAUUGACCUUGACGACCGCUCUCCGUUCCCUCCUCUUCGCCGAUUCCGCGUCCAACUUGGCGAUCUCCUCCGGCGUGCACUCCGACCGCGGCUUCCUUGGCGCCUUCUUCUUCACCUUUGCGGGCGGGUCGACAGCCAGGCCGCCAGAAGUCCGCGGGGCGUCGGCCAUGGACGGGGGAGAGAGGGGGCGGCGGGAGGGACGUGGGAGGGUUUGGGGGAAAUGGCGCCAAAUGGGCGUGGGGGGUUUUGGUUUCUCCCACCGACAGGCGGGCCAGGGGAGGACAAGCGCGCGCGUCCUGCCCGUCCGCGCGCUGUCCGUUUCACCCCAAAACCGGCGCAAACUUGGGCCGGGGAUGGGUCGAAAGCGGACACAAAGCGGACAAAAGUCCGUUUACGCACGCGCGCUGGGCCGCCUCGUUUGUCCCUUUUACCCCAAACGAACGGGGGCGGAGUUGGCCUUACCAGUUGUGACAAAAGUGGCGGGUUGGAGCGCGCGUGUGUGCAGUUCAGGCAGCUGGGUGGAUCCGUCGUGCGUGCCUUUUUAUCUGUACAGUCACGACUCAUGAGUACGGUUUACGUGGAGGAGGAGUUGCACGUUCUUACCACUGCCGUCAAAUUACCACGCUGCCCAUUGUCGUGGACCGGUGGUUAUUCAUCUCAACUACUCGAGGACGAGUAGUCUACAGUGCCAUGAGUUACUAUGCAAUAUAUGGACAUAUAGGAUCGAUCGAAGCCAUUGAAUUGAUUAAGAGCAAUUGACGAAAAUGCAAUACAAGCUGGCAAAUCCUUCUCAUUUCUUCUCACUCAAAGUGUAGUUCCAGCGUUGCUCUUGCUCACCAUGCAUGCAUGUGCUGAGUUGUGUAAAUUCCCGUGAAGCGACCCAACACAGACACUGCAUUGCACUGUUGUGAAAAUCGGACGUUUAAUUUGUCUUCGCUCGCUCGACUGGUCUGUCUCCUCCACGUACGAACUACGUGAUUUUGAUCCGAGGCAUGCCAUGUGCGGCUGCAUGGAAAAGAAGGCCUCAUGUCCUGCAAGCUAGCGAUCAGAGCUAGCUCCUCCACAGGCUCCGGCCGAACCUAACAUGCACCGUCCGAUUAGCUAUGAGCCUAUGACCAGCACGGAAAGAAGAAACGUGCCAAUAAAACUGAGCCGUACGUGCUGCCAAAUGAAUGUCUCCCCUCGUUCCGUUUUUCCUACUGGCAUUGACUGAGCAAUCGAUUGGGUCGUACAGUCAUCAGUGCUCACAUGAAUGGCACUACAUGUGACGUUCGACACUAGUUAACUUAAUAUGAGAGCAAGAGAUCGACAUAGAAUGAAAGGUACAAAUGAGCUACUACUACGUAGUCGUCAAUUAGGCGGAAAUCCCUUUUGGAGCUUGGCCUCCAAAUUCAAAAUUGAAAUUUUAUCGAAAUUCAUAUUUUUACAUUUCAAAAAAUUCUAAAGAAAAAUAUAGAUAUACAUGAAGGUAUAACAUACAUGUGUGUAAAUUUUCAGUUCAAAAUACAUUGAAAUGAGGGUUGUGCAAAAAAGACAAAUCUGAGGCUAUUUAACACAUGAUACUAUUCAUCUUCCAGGCCAUGAAUUUGUCUUUUUUGUAUAGGUCGCAACUCAAGGUAUUUCAUUAUGAAAUUUUACACACAUGUGAUAACAUCCUUAUAUACACGCAUAUUUUUUUUCAGAAUUUUUUGAACCAUAAAAUUUUGAAUUUGAAUUUUUCAAGAAUAAAGGCCUCCAUGGAGCUCGGCCUCCAAAACGCCCCUCUCUCAAUUAGGCCCCUUCAGAAACUAACGGUGAUCACUAUGCAUGCCCUGAGAUCAUCAUUGUCAUCUCAUAUUUAGUUUUCCUCUCCUUUCUGAAAUCGUGCUGUUGGCCUUGCGUGCUGCGCGCCAACGUUCACCAAUGAACUGGAAUGUCCCGCAUGCUGAAUUCGAUGCUUGGCGCCAUUUCUUUAGAGUACACGUCCAGACAGUAGCAGCAGACGCUCGACAUCGAUCACAUGAUCGAUGACAAACCUCCGAUCUCCGGCCGAUCAAUUCCUCCACCAAACCAUGACAUGUACAUAAGUACAUUCAAGAAACGACACGGGGACGGGGCAACGAUCUGUCGAAUCACGCGGCACCCUAACGCCAUGCCGCGCGGCUUCCAGAAGAAAAGACCCCGCACAAUGCAGGGAACACUAAUUUUUUUUUUGAGGGGAAACACAAUCAUAUAUUAAACAUAAAGCAGAAUGUCAUCCGAUACAACAUCUAGGAUAAAACCAGGCGGCACACCAGUCCACACCUGACAUCUCUCCUCUCCAACACCAACCCUAGCGAGCUUAUGGGCAACAGAAUUUGCCGAGCGCCGAACCCAGCCCACCUUGAAGUCCAUGAACUCCCCCAGCGACUUCUUUACCUCUUCAACCCACGGCCCGACCGAAGAGAAGUUCUUUUCAGGGCUCAUGAUCAUCUUCGCCAGAGCCUGGCAGUCCAGCUCCACAUGAAUCCUGUCAACAUUCAACUCCCUCGCCAUCUUGAUCGCCUUCAGGCACGCCAUGAGCUCAGCACGUUCGGGAUCAGCACAUUGUGGGAAGAAGAAGCAGGCCGAAGCCACAUAGCCGCCAUUGUGGUCACGUAGGAUAGUCCCACCACCGCCCUUGUUCUGUUGUUUCUCGAGAGCACCAUCAGCAUUAGCCUUGAUCCAUCCAUCUUCUGGAGCUUCCCACCGCUGCACCGACCUUGCCGUCGUCCACCUAGCAGGGGCAGCAUGAGCUUCUCUCCACGACGCCAUNNNNNNNNNNNNNNNNNNNNNNNNNNNNNNNNNNNNNNNNNNNNNNNNNNNNNNNNNNNNNNNNNNNNNNNNNNNNNNNNNNNNNNNNNNNNNNNNNNNNNNNNNNNNNNNNNNNNNNNNNNNNNNNNNNNNNNNNNNNNNNNNNNNNNNNNNNNNNNNNNNNNNNNNNNNNNNNNNNNNNNNNNNNNNNNNNNNNNNNNNNNNNNNNNNNNNNNNNNNNNNNNNNNNNNNNNNNNNNNNNNNNNNNNNNNNNNNNNNNNNNNNNNNCCAUAGGUGGCAUGAAUCAAAACCUCCCUCUCCUCUUCACUCGCCGAGGCAAAUCAUGAAAUCAGCCAGUCAGCCAACGCUCGCUGGGAGUUCACAUGACCGGGCGGGGAGGCCGUCUCAACACCCAUAGCAGACCACAGCAGCUUCCAGAACUGGAUGGAAUGGUAGCAGCCCCAGAACCGGUGAACCAAAGACUCCUCCCGGCCACACACCGGGCAGAAAACUCCAGCCUUGAUCCUGCGACGGUGAAGCUCAACGCCCACAACCAAGCCAUUCCGAAUCAAGCGCCAGACAUGUAUCUUUGCUUUGCCAGGAGCAGAGGUAUCCCACAAGGCCAUAAAGCCUUUAUGCUUCGCGACUGAACUAGAUCCUUCCGGCUGACCUAACCGACGUUUCUUCCUUUCCAUACACAGGUGAUACGCCGAGCGGACAGUGAAGAUACCAUUGCGAGUGAAGUUCCAAGCCAAGUAAUCCUCAGUCCCCGGGCCCCCAACGGCAAUCUGCCUAAUGUCGUGAGCAUCAUCUGCAGAAAACAUAUCAGUCACCUUUGCAUCAUCCCAUGAAGAUCCAUCUGUAGUCAAUAAGUCUGCAACCUUGGUGACUCCCUAAACAUACCGCUGGCCCAGUGGCCGCAUGUGUCCAGCCCUCAGUAUCCAGUUACUAUGAUGAAUAUUGAUAGAGGACCCAUCCCCAAUCCGCCAAAUAGAUCCCUCCCGCAAAAGAUCACGCCCAUGCAAGAUGCUUCUGAAAGUGAAAGAGCCUGCUGCUGGGCAAGUGGCAUUCAGAACAGAACAAUGCGGGUAGUACCUGGCCUUCAAGACACGAGCACACAAGGAGGAUGUGUAUUGAUGCAGGCGCCACGCUUGCUUGGCCAACAUGGCUUGGUUAAAAGCCUCCGGGUCCCUAAACCCCAGGCCACCUUCCUUCUUCGACAUACACAUCUUGUCCCACGAGAUCCAAUGUACCUUCCUCUCACCAUUGAUUGUUCAUGUGUAUGUUUGCCGCUUGACGGCCGGGACGCGUAUCUGCGUGCUCCGCCACUCGCCGGCACGAUGCUAUAGCUAGCGUCCGCUACAGGUAGCGGCGCUCGCAUGAAUAUGCUACAGCCCAGUCUAGUGAGCACUAAAACUAACAUGCUAGCAAUAUGGUCAUUUUUUUUCAAAUUUGUUUCUUUGAGAGGUCAAAAUUCCUCUUUUGCCACAUGCUCCUCACAUGUCCAAACAUGAUCUCAAGAACAAUUUUCAUGUUAUUUUCUCUAAUAUUUAUUGGCUAAACUGAUAGACGCAACCCUCUAGUAACUUCCCUAGAUAUAUCAAAGAUAUUGUGUGCAAAGAUAUUUAAAAACAAAAUGUAAUGCAUUGACAAAUGUCUAAAGUAAUUUGCGGAGUUAUGUGAUAUCCAUUUUAAUAAACUAUAUUGUUUGAUAACUCGAAAACAAAUUUUUAAAAAUUAUCAUGACAAUAUAAAAUCGUGUUUAGCGUAGGAAACAUAUUUAAAAACUAAAUAUUAUAAAUGUAUCUAAAUAUGGAUCCAACUAUAAAGCGAUGUGAUAAUGAUGUAAAUUCGACUAGUUUUGACUCAGAACUAUAUCAAAAGAUGUAUUAAUAAAAAAAAUACUACAUUUACCUAAAAUAAAAGCUCACAUGAAGCAAAAGAGUUUAAUAUAAAUAUGGUGGAAUUCACCACCGACAUUGAAACCGCCAACGGGUGUCCCAAGGUACCAAGUUUAUUAGAAGGACAGAUAAGCACGUACGAUGACGGGGGCUCCCACAUUCAUGUCAUAUGUGAGUCAUUAGAAAUCGGUUAUCCUCUGCGAUUGACGCCGCGGCCAUCGGCAGCACAAUGCCAGGAAUAGAUACAAUUAAGACGCACCCAAUAAUCUCGCAUGAAACAAAUAAAAGAGAAAACCUGACAUCCAAAACAAAAAAGGCUAAUCAACAAAUGAACAAUGUUCAUCUUACAAACCCCCAAAGUGGCUUUGACACAAUAUUAUAAGCAAUAAGAGAAGAGUCAUCUUAAAACAGACAUGAUAAGGCUUAUUAAACACGACAACAGAACGACAGAUGUCAGAAAAGAAGUUUACAACGGAAUGUACAUGCCUGCCAAUGAGCGAGUUGGCUCAUAACCAAGAAAUCGCACAAGAAAAAUGUAGCGAUGGAAAAAGUGGUCAUUGACUUAUAAGCACCAUUCAUGUCAGCGUAAGAGUUAAAAGUCCACCCAAUAAGGUGAUAACCUCAUAUUUAAAGGGUCUAAACGGCUUCGUUUUUUCCCAACGUCAAGAAUAUCUAAUAAACAAUGCCCCCGACACAAAUCGAGUUGAAAAACAAGGUAGGCGCUCACCUAUCAAGCCACAGGAUGUCGAUGCUGUUACUGAAAUGUGACAAAGCAAUGUUUGAUGACACAUUGAACCACUGCCUCAUUGCAUCACAAAAAAAGUGAAGCACAAACACAUUCAAGAAAGAAAAAUUGCCUCUCGAGAUGAGGAAAAAGAGUAGUUGUAUCGCUCAUAACCCUCAUUGAUCUUGCGGAACUAGAAGUGGCAGAACACGACCAGCUCUAACACCUUAUCCUCUUUUUUAUUUUUGAAAUGUCUCUUAUUUAAGUCUAUUUUCUAAGGGAGACAAAGAUUCCCAUGUCACCCCUAGUGAAAUGGCAUGUUCGAGUUGUAGCCUAUUUUGUAUUAUUUUUGGAUAUUUUCUUUCCCUCCUUUUCCCUUUAAUUUAAGGACACAACUUUUAUAUAUAUGAACUUUUUAAAAUGUACAUACAUUUUUAAAAUAGGUGAUAUACCGUUUUGAUUAAUUAGAAUUAUUUUUCAAAUAGACAAUACAGAACGACCAUUAUAAAUACAAGAUAAAUAAUUUGAAUAUAAAAGACAAACAUGUUCAAUUAUAUUUAAUUAUCUAUUUAUUUGAUAUAUCAUUUAUAUUUUUAAUGUACUAUUAUUUUUUAGAUUAAAAAUGGAAAAUGCUAUUCUUACGUAAAGUUUGUACAAAAUCUCUAUGUACUAGUGUGUUCCCAUCUAUAGCCGCUUCCAUGAUUUUAGGAAACUGCCAUGAAAUGAACUAGUAGUAUGUAAUUUUUUUUAUUUAGAAUCCGUACAUAAGAAUAGCAUUGCUCGAAAAAAAUUAAAAGAGGGAGUGCGCCCGCCGAUCUAACCCUUUGUUUUUGGAACGGAGAACCGAUCUGACGCUUCAAGGGAUUCCGGCAGUAAGAAGUUUGGCAGCUGUGCAACUUGGAAAAACUAUUUUAAAGUUAAAAAACUGGUUAAAUACAAACAUAUAUUUUUCACAUACCUGUCAUGUUCCAUGUUGUAAUAUAAUCAUUUGUAGGCUACACAUAAAGUCAAAUACUGGUCCAAAUACAGUAGAAUAUAUAAGCCCCAUGUUUUUCUUCGAACAAAAUAUAAGCUCCUCCUGAUAAGUGUGUUUGUCUCUUUGUGUGCACUCAUAUGAAAUUAUCGUUUUUGACCAAAAAAUCAUGCAUAAUAAUAAAGCACGGAUUGACUCCCUGGGUUCACCGUCACAAUACGCUUCUUCUCGUGAUUCUACACUUUCAGUUUAAAUUUAAAACAUAUACGUGAGAUGGUAUUAAAACCGUUUCAUUCGCCGUCCCUAUAAAACGUUUCAUCCGUGCAACGCUCGGUUGGGCUUAGUCUAACGAGAUAGGCAAGUGGGCUUUUUUAUUGGAAGAUUUCUUAUAUGGGUUGCUAGGUGACUUGGCUCGUCCGAAUCAGGUGUACGCGAGGUUGCUUGGAUCGAAUUCACAUCCUCCCGUUCCUUUCUAUCCACCUCGCUUGUUUAGAUGUAAUACUACCAGUUAAUAUACCUACGGAAGCUUCGUGAUCAACAAGUGGCCUCAUAAAUCAACAAGCAGACAAAGGGUACCCCAAGGGAAGGAGGUGAUGAGAAUAGCACGAUAGAAAUUGAAACCGAGGAACAGACUAUGGUCUACGUCAUGGUAAUAGAGUCUUUAAUUGAUCUCAAUGAACCUAUUGUCCGGGAACUUGGCAACCACUUUUCUGGUGUGAAUUGAGACACAACAGACUAAGUAAAGAUUUAAUUUCGAUGGUGCCCUCUAAUUGCGCGACGUCGAUAACUCGAAAUAAUCAAUAUGUGUAUGAUUACUUGGCUAGGAUUCACGUCGCCCUACAUCAACGUCCGCCGCUUGAUUUAUCGCAGUUGUUGUUUAAUCAAUAGCGUGGCAUGGGUCAUAGGCAUGUGGUUUUUUCUCCGGUUGCAACGCACGGGCAAUUUUCCUAGUCUAUAUAAAUGUAUACGUAUAUGCACAUAUUUUCCCAUAAUUUUUAAAAUGUAAAAACAAAGUUUUCCAACGGAAGAAAUAAAAUGCUACCCGGAACCUGGUAGGAAAAUCUGAAAAAUGCCUUUUCCGGGGCCACCAAGGAUAGCUCGCGAACCGUCGAGCCUCAGUCGCCUGCCCGUGCUGUGUACAUACCACCACUAUCUGUUUCUCGACCGAUCGCAGCAGCAGAAUCCAUCCCCCACUCGUGGCUGCCCUUCUGCUCCCUCAUCGCACCCACCUGCAAAAAAAAA
RNAcentral lists this long non-coding RNA (46979 nucleotides) under Triticum aestivum (bread wheat). Its description in RNAcentral is "long non-coding RNA (TAES_LNC018443)". The record is from RNAcentral. Lineage: Eukaryota; Viridiplantae; Streptophyta; Magnoliopsida; Poales; Poaceae.